AUUACACAACAAACAUUUCUCUUUUUCUUUAUAGGAUGAAAAAGAGGAGAACCCAAUCUUCUUUUCAAACAUUUUCAUUUUUAUUCUGCUAUUUAUUUUGGGAUUUUUAUAUUAUCAAGAUCCAACCCAUCGAUAUUUUAUGAUCUUCGUAUUAGCUUUAGCUGGGGCUUCAGCUAUCUAUUUUCUAUUCCUAAGCAGGACGGGCUUGUGGCAAGUUCUGUCUUUUUCAAUUUAUUUUCUGAUAAAUCUAUUUUAGGAAUAUCACAUUCCAAUAAUGAAAGAACCCUGUUCGGUGUACCCGAUGUGACUCUCAUUUACAUUCUGGUAAAUCAAUUAAUGUCUCUUUUUUUAGUUAUUGAGACGAUAAACUGUCUCUGGUCAUUAAUGAAGGAAAAGAAAUGCUGGUCUUUGUAUAUAUAGUUAUGUUAUACUUUCUUAGUCAAAAAUUACAUCAUGAUUGUUUAUGGUUGGAGGUUUGGAUUGAUAGUAUGAGUUUUCAGAUAGGGUUUUUAUCUCUUUUGAGAUUCUUAAUAAAAAGAAAGAAAAACACCAAAGAGUAGAUGAUUAGCCGAUGUAUGUAUUAUGAAACGGGUAUACGAGAUCCCCCGGGUCGAUUUUAGGCAUUCACAAGGUUCAAAGAAAGGGUGGGACAUUGAGAAAAGGAUAUGUAUACCGAACAAUAUUCAAAUAACUUUCUCUAAGAUGAAUUAGCUGCCGAAGAGGGAAGGGGCAUUGAAAGAAGACAGACAUAGUGGAAAUGCUCCUAGACUAGAGAAGGUUCCCUCGUCAGUCUGAUCCUCUCAACUCAUACGGAAGCAGGGAAAAUACAAUAACAAUAGUUAUUGUAUUUUUUGCUCUUACACUCGUAAGGAGAUGGGGAAAGGUGAGAUCGUAGGUCAGCAACAUUCUCUAUUUCUUCUUUUAAGAUAUUUCUAAUUACCCAAUCGAAUAAAGACUGUACUUCGAACUAGUUUUUAGCUUGAACGUGAUGAAUGCUAUCUCUUUCUCGCAACUUGACUGUUUAACAAGAUGGUACGAAUCCGCUUUUUGACAACAUCUUGGAAGGAAGUAAUAUUCAGCCAUCCACUCAAGGGUUUGGAGUUACCAUUUUUGCUAUUUUUGCCAAGGAAUAAAGUAAAGGGACUAUCGAUACCCCUUCGCGUUCGAUUUGGUUUAGAGUAAUCGCUUGUUCCUUCAAUCUUUAGAGUUAAGCUCUUUUCCAUUCUUCCUAAUGGACUACGAGGACCCUAGGUUUAAGGACUCUUAUAAAGAAGGAUUAUUGGCUUUACUGCUGCCUUACCACUAGCUUAACACUAGCAGCACAGGCUUACCUAUUAAUCACAAACCCUUUCCUUACUUGCUUACUUCCUAGCUUGCCUAGAGAUAAAGAAUCAAAGAAAGAAAGAAAGGAUCCCCUAUUUACAACGUACAAGGAAGGGAAAGACCAUUGAUGUUGCUUUCUCCUAAGAGAUGCAAGUAGGAAUGGAUAAGCUUGUUUAAAUGCAAUUUUAUGAGAGUUUAAACACUCCAAAUAGCUGGCCGUCUUGAUCACUUAGAAAUGCAUGACUUGAAACUACGAUUGAAACUAGAUCACUAGAUGGAACUAAACUCGCUUAGGCCCUUGACCUUUCUUUAGCUGAGAAAAAGCACAUAUGCUCACCUGCCCUGACUUGAACUAUCUUAUUUGUUGGCUUUCCCUUAUCUAAUGGAUUUUCUUUCCCAACUUCAAUGCCAAGGGGGAUGUUAAGGCUUACUCAUCGCUGACAACCUCACACAAAGGAACUACAAUGGAAAAAGAUGGCCAUGAAAAAAAAAGGGGGGGGGGGGGUCUUAGCUUAGACCUCCAAUUGAGCUUGCUUUUGUCUAAGACCCUUAAGGAAACUACUUGGACUUUCAUAUUAGGACUCGAACUGAGAAAAGGGCAAGAUAUCAAUCUAUGUUAGCUGCCCUUUCCACUAUUGACCUAGUUGCUCUAGCUAACUCACCCGCGAAUCGACUUGCCCAUUCAUUUUCAUUGCCGUUUGAACAACUUGAUAGGACGUUUGCUUUUGUGCAUUUUACUUUUAACCUAACUCUAUCUUUAGCCCUGACUUAUGAAAAGAAAAGGACAACCUAACUUAUUCAUAACCUACUUUUAUUUUUAGGAUCUUUCACUGGAGGACAUAUCUCUGAUUAGACCUCACCCACGAAAAAGUGUAGUCCCGACGAAUAAUACAAUACUAUUUCAAUAAAAUAUAAAAUAUAAUAUAAAAAAAAAUACAAUUUGAAUUCAUUGAGAAAGCAAGACGAAUAGGAAAUAAAGAGGUCAAGAGGAAGAAACUUUGAAUAUCGUAUCCGAUCGUAGUCUUUUAGCCACGGACGCUAUUGCUUUUUGCAUAAAAAAUAUCGGUAAAAUGCAAAAUACAAUCCCAAUUCUAUAACUUAAGAAUGAAAUUUUAUUACAACUCAAAAUCUUGGUAAAAUACAAUAUUCGUUUAUUUAUAUUUCAUACACUACCUAAAAAAAAAUCUCGAGACGUUUUAGCAUUCUCAAUUGAUGAAACUUAAGAUAGUAAAAAUUGAUUAAAGUUAUUCGAAAAUCCUUCUUUUAAAUUCCUAAUCUAGAAAGAGAAUAGAAAAGGUAAAAAAAAAUAACUAGACGAUAGAAUUCGAAUUCAAUAGUCUAAUAUGAUAAUAAGUCUUUUUCAUCUCAUUUUCUCGGUAAAACGCAACAUUUGUUUAUUUAUACUCUAGCUAUAGAAAGUAGACGACAAAUAAGAGUUUUCUGCUCUCUCAAUCUCGGAUAGGAUACCCAUUUUAAUAUUGAUUUUUCUUUUCUCGAUCUUUUUCAAUUUACUUUGUCAAUUGAAAGGAGAAAAGCGAACAACUCCCAAGAGAAUGAGCUAUUCUUAGAACUCUGUAUUCGAAUAUGAUAAUUUGAUAAUUGCAUCUCAAAAUCCCGGUAAAAUGCAAUAUUUGUUUAUUUAGACUCUUUAGACUAUUAUCAUAUUUUCAUUUUAUAUAAUAUAUAAUGUUCUUUCGAACUUUCACUUCUUAUUCAACUUCUUCUUCGUUCCCUAUCUAUUCUCUAGACAGGACAGAUGGGAUUGUUGGUUUCACUAUCUUAACUCUCAACUAUCUUUUAACUAGAUUAGGAUAAUUCUUCUUCUUUCAAUUGAUUUUUUUCUUUCAAGAUCAACUAGAAACCAUGAAUAAAGAAAGAAAGAAGAAAAAGAAGGUAGUUCUUUCGAGCUCUUUAUUCUUAUUCUUAUUCUAUGAUAAUAUAGAAAGCAAUCUCUUCCUUCUCUUCCCCUUAUUCUAGUCUGAAUGUCAGUAAUUGGUAGUGUAUUAUAUAGAUUGUGUGUGUGUAUUUCUCUAAAGAGUGUCAAGAUAUGUUACUGUAUUUUUGGUUAGUGUCCCUAAUCGAAUGAGUGGCUACAUGUUUUAACGGCUAGGAUAAAUAAACGGGUUGACUGUGAUGAGGUAGCAACGAUUCGGAGAUAGAAAUUUCUUUACGGUAACCAAAGUGCCAUCGAGUUAGCUAUUGGAUGAAGAUCAGUAGGUUAGGAGUUCACACCAGCCUAAGGAGAAAUGGCUAUUACUGAUGUUUUCACAAGUCUUUUUCAAGUAGGUUAAGCUCUAGACAAGAAAAAAGAAGAAAAAGCUGUCAUUUGAAAAAAAGAGAGAGAGUUCUUACGAAUUCGGAAUCAUAGGAUCCUCGACUGUACUUUACCUUGGAAUCAUGGGCACUAGGAUGUGAAGCUGUUCACUCUGCUUUUGCUGGUAUAAAAUCUGCUACUAGACUUUUUGCCUUAGGAGCAAUUCUUGCUUUUGUUUUUGAAGCUUUUCUCGCUCAAGUCAACUCUGAACUCCUGGUCUCAUGUAAAAAAAGAAAAAAAAGGGGGAAGUCAGCCGAAGGUAGGACCAAUACAGUAGUUGUUAGGAUUAGAGGGCAGUUUACUCCCUUCUUAUAAGAUGGUUAGUUUACUACUUGCUCUUGUUAACCCAUUCCCCUUUAAGAUGGGAAAAAGAGUUUCAUAGCCUAGGGAAUAGGAAUCUACUUGCCAACUUCUCCUACUCUUCUUUAGGGCGCGGGUUCUGCUUUCACUAGAUUCUCUAAAGCUAAAAGAAAAAAAUUAGCCUGAGGGAUAAGCUCUUUCUCUUCUUAGCUGUACAUCCAAUCUUGGGAGUCAAGUAAGGGCAUGGCUGAAGCCAGCUCCUAACCCUAGGGUGAGGUAUCAACAUAAAGUCAAGUAAGACAGAACGAUUAGCUUAGCGGCGAACAAGAAUCAUUCCAUCAACUCUAGAGCUGGGAAUUCUCCUUCUAUACUUUCUUUUGCCACAAGAGGAGUCGAUUUAUAGUCAGAUGAAGAUAGUUACAAAGCGAAAAAGACAGACAAGAUCUGAGUUGAAAUCGAUCCCAGACUCACUCUUAUAAAGUGAAACAGCGAGCUGAAAAUUUUAGAUAGAAAAGCGAUCAUUUCUAAUGAUGUUCAAAUCGUUCUAGUGGAUUAGCUAUAAUCUAAUAAAUAUGAAAAGUCGAACUCAAAUACAAGUUCAUUGCUUUGUUUGAAUUGUUUUAGAAUGUAUUACUGAUGACUUCGCUUUGAUUUGACAAUAUUAAUGAUAGAUCACCAUAAGAUUGGCUAAUGACAAAGCUCAUUCUCAUCACUUAGAAAGCUUCUUACAUUGUUCCAAUUAUACAAGGAACCUUUUUCAUCAGAACUGCGGGGCUUGACUUUAUUCGAGAUGUUUGGAAUAAAUAAGCGAAUGCGGGAUAUGUUGCCUAUGAGACUCAUUAAUUAUUUCAAAGGGUCGAAGGUGCCAUCUCGAGUAUAGUGUUGAUCUUCGAAAGGUCAACCUCUAUUCCGUUUUGAUGGACAAUGAAUCUUCAAAAUUGACCAGUUGAGACACCGAAGGCACAUUUCAAUGGAUUCAUCAAUCAAUAGAAGAUAGCCACACCAAUGCACUGAGAAUAGGCGAAUAGAAUACAUGACAAAAGGCAAGGCCAAGGAAAGCAUUAAAUCCAAAAGUGACUGUUUGAGAAUAACCUAUUUUCAGUAAAAAUAUACAGGAAUUUGAGAAGUAAAGGCAACUAGCGAAGAUGCUGAAAAGGAGUUGUUUGACACAUGGAUCCAUAGUAGAGAAUCGGAUAAGGAAUGCACUCUUACUGUUACCAUUGGGGGAAAGAAAGCCUAAACCACAUGGAAUCAAGGCUCUGAAAGACCUUUUCCAAGCAUUGCUAGAGUAAGAUAGUCUCUUCUGUCUAUCUAUGCAAUUAAGUGCCAUCUUGCUUCUGCCAAAAUCAAAGCCAAUACUUGGAUGCUUCAAAGAUUUGGUUCACGUCGUACAUUCAGGUACUUGCCAAUCUGCAAACACCCUCACCUUUUUUUUUGCCUGAGCAACUUUAAAACUGCAGCCUCAUUCAAAAUAUCCUAAUAGUAAAUUAUAUUGGGUGCUAGUAACACUAAAUCAGAGUUCUCUCGCCUUUCUCCCAAUUCACAUUGACGGUUUUCAGCUCUAAGCAAGAAGAAGGAAAGGACGGUUAGCUCUUCUUUCCUGGAAGUGAAUUAGGUAGAAAAACGUAUGCUUUUCUCUACGAUAGCCGGGUAGUAAUCGAAGACCAAUAACUGUAAGGGUUGUAAGUGCGCUUUGAUAUCUAAUAUCCAUAGAAAGCUAUACCAAUAUCACGAAGAGAAAUGGUGAAGAUUUACAAGUUGUUCGUGUGAUAGAAAAGAUUUCCCCUUCUUAAGAACAAGCCUUUUAGGCCAUAUUUUUUUUCUUGAAAGGAAGGGCUAUUGGAGAUAAUUGGAUGGGGGUGUAGACUUGGGUAUGAACCAAUUUGUAGAGUUUGGAUGAAGUUAGAAGACCUUAUCUCUUCUGUUUCUUUCUUUAUUCGAUCUUUCCUUUAGCUAUCAGAUGCAUUGGUAGCAUCAAUAUUGUAAGAAGCAUUAGUGUUUAUUUGAUGCACAAGCAAAUUGAGUGUGAUGAGGCUUCUUGAAAAUGGAUCAAUGCAAGCUUUUCCACCAACUUGGUAAGUCACAUUUUUAUUUCUCAUAUGUCAUGAUCAAAUUCUUUUUAGUUAAGUUCCAAGGCCUGUAUCCGUGCUUCCAAUUGAUCUCUCAUCUCUUCUGAAUUACUAACCCAACUAAAGUAAAAGAUUUCUAUAUCAUGCAAUGACAUGAUGAAUGAAUGAUAAUAAUCUAUGAAUGAGUGAAAUGCAUGAAAUGAAUGAAAAUAGAUAAAUAAGAAACAAACAAACAAAUAUGUGCAAACAUAUCGAUGUUAACAUGAUUUAUGCAAAAGGGAGUAACAAACAAGAAUAGAGUUAGCGUACAAUAUAAAUAAUGAAAAAAACAAAACAAGUUAGUGCACAACUUAUGUAAAACAACAAGUUUAUGACUUAAAUUUGGGUUAUUUCUACAAAAGGGAAAGACAUGACUUUAUCCUAAAGCUAGACCCCUAAGGUUCAUUAUAUAUAGGGUUAAAGGUUUAAUACAAGCUACAAGGUUCUCAAAUUGUUCCUUACUAUUGUCCAUGCCGAACUAGUAAAGCACUCUAAUCCUCACCCAUAAUAGACUUCAAAUGAAAAAUAUUCAAUUUGAGUAAGAGUAUUUUGCUAGCCAUUAUGGAGGUUUACACCUCACGAAAGCAUAGGUAUUUUACCUUAUCUUAAAAAAGAUAGAGCUUUGGUUUAGAGCUCAUGUUAUGAUAUACUCGUGGAGUGUAUGGAGGAACAAAUUCUUGAACACAUUUCAAACAAAUAAGAAAAUAAUCAAGCAAAUAAAUGAAUAAAGAAAACUAGACUAUUCAACCAAGACUUUAGGAUCAUAUAAUUUUUUUUGGUUGACCCUCUUACAUCGCUAGCAAAGUGGCUAAGUUUCAUAAUGUAUUAGUCUGAACACACGAUCACUAGAUGUAAAAGUAAAAAAUAACCACCAAUCAUUUUUGUUGAGGUACAUUAGCCAUCGACUUAUCUUUUGGUUUACGAAUUCGAGGUUGAGUUCGGGAGUAUGGUUACGUAUAAGGAAAUGUUAUAGCACCCUCAUAGCACCUAUCUAAGAUGAUACCAAUUAAUCUUAUAAAAUCCUAAAAAUAGUCUUGUUUAAAUAGCCUUUUACUUAAUAUUUCAUUUUAUUUAUUAUAUUUUUAUUAUUGAAAAUUUCUAAGCUAUUCCGACACUUUCGAUAAAACUUAAGAAUCUCUCAUCUAAAUAGUAUUUAAAGAAAUCACUUAUUUCUUUGAAAUAUGCUCUGUUGUAAGAUUUAAUUUAAUAUUUUGAAAAUGAAGUAGAUUAUAAUUUCCUUAUAACGAUUCUUAUGGAAUGGCUUUAUAAUUUUGGAGAAAAAUCACCACUUGCGAUUUCCCUCUUAAUUUUAUUAUCGAUGAAAGUUUAAAUUUACUUUAAAACAUUUAUUUGUUGUUUAUUUCAUUAUUGAGUAAAAAAAAAAAAUUCAUUGGUUAAAUUCCUAAAAUAUUUUCAACACUUUUAGAAUAUUUGGAGAAAAUUGUUUUACCUAAGAAAUUUUUGAUAAAGUCACCACUCAUGACUUUUAUUCUUAUAAAAUUUACUUACUUUAACAGUUUAAAUAUUUAUAUUUUUUUAAUUUUUUAUUGAAAAGAUUUUCAAAUAAAUCUUACCAACACUUUUGACAAAAUUUUGAAAAAUAUUUUUUUAAGAAAUCGCCACUGUGAUUGUAUUACUAUUGUUAUUAUUAUUUUUCUAUAUUGAUUUAAUUCUUGCUAUUUAUUCUAAGUGAUUAUUAUUAUUAUUAUUAUGAAAAAAUUUUAAAAUAUUUUUAAUACUUUUAGAAUAUUUUAGAAAUUUUCUUUAUAUAAAAGGUCAUCACGUAUAAUUUUAUUUUUUUAUUAUUAAUAUUUUUUAUUUUUAUUUUCAUUUUUUUUAUGCUUCAAAAUUUUUUAAAAAAUAUUUCCAACAUUUUUAGAAUAUUUUUAAUAAAAUCAGCACUUGUGACUUUAUUGUUAUUUUAUUAUUUUUUUGUCUUUUUAUAUUUUUCUUUAUUAUUAUUCAUUAACAUUUAAUUUUCAUUAUUUAAUUUUAUUAUUAUUUUUUAAAUUAUUUAAGAGAAAUUAAGAUUUUAAAUUUUCUUAAGUUUAUUUUUUUGCAAUUAUUUUAAAUUAAUUUCAAUAAAAAAUACUUUAUGCUUUUUACCAUUUAUUUUAUUUUUCCAUCAAAAGUUUAUACAAAAACAAAAUAAAAUCAUAAAUUAAAUAAUAGAAAUAUAUAAAAAAAUUAAGCAAAAAAAUAUAAAAUAUAAAAAAUAUAACAAAAUACCUAAAAUGCCCAUGGUCAACCUUGGUCAAAGGGCAGUUCAAAUGGCUCGAUCAAUCGAUUUAGCUGGAUUAGUCAACAAGAAAAAAAUCGAGUCACAAGUUGGAUGCGUAGAUCUCAAGUCAAAUCCAAAUCUAUGCUUGAAUCCUCCUUGGCAAAACAAUGUCAUUUUGUUAGGUUAUAAAUAGCCUAAAUCUUUUUUUUUUUCAUUUUUCUCUUUUUCCUCUCUCUCCUCUCUUAGAUUCUUUCUAUUUCUCUAAGCUGAUAAAAAAAUUUAACCAAAACCAGAUUCUUGUAGCUUUUUCAAAAAUCAGUGGUCAAAAAAUUCAAAUAAACCCAGAUUUUUGUAAUUGAAAAAUUUAACGAUUACCAAAAAAUACAAUUUUUUUUAGUUUUCGAUGAGGCCAAAAAAUUUUUUUAAAAAUCAAAAAAUUUUCUAAAAUGAUCCUCUUAUCCUCCUCCACACUUUUCCUAAAAUGGUUUCUCCAUAAAAAAAUCCCAAGCUUACUAAAUUGAGGUUUUUAUUUUCGGUUGAAACCUUCUUUUUUUUUGUUGCUUUUGUUGGUUGUUUGGUUUUUUUUCUAUGUUUGUGGGGUAUUGUUGUUAUAAAGUUUUUUUUUUUUUGUGACAAGUGAAUCAACACUUAACAGAGGCAGUGUUGAUAUUUUUCAAAAUAAUUUCUAACCUUAAAGUUUCUCCCCCUUUCCCUCUCCCCCUGUUAUUCACUGUUAUUUUAUGUGUAUUGGAUAUAUAGAGCUUGCAUAGGAAAUCAAAUCUCAGAAAAUCUAGGAUUAAGAGAUGUUUUUCAAAAUCUUGGCACCAAAAGUUUUGCUACAACUUUCUGACAAAAUUUGCAUUGGUAAAUGUAAAUUUAGGGUGGCAAACGGUUGGAGCUUGACUUUAGUUCCAAACAAAUUUUGUAGCAUCUCUUUUUUAUUGAUUUUGAUUUUUUUUUUUUGACUUUCUUGCUUCCUUUUUAAAUUUUUUUUGUAUGAUUAAUAUAAUAAUAAUAAUAAUAAUAAUAAUUGAACCUAAUAUAUAAUAUAUGUGAUCAAAAUUCUUGAUUGAAUUUAAACUGGAUAUGAAUGCAAUUUGGGUCAAUUUUGAUCAAUAUGGUACAAAUUAGGUGUCGAUAAUGUGAUUCACCUCCCUAUGUGGGGUCAAUAGCAAUGGUGUCUACGUUGCUAUUGUUAAAUUAGGCGAUAUGCUAUAUCCACAACAUGAUUGCAUGAGUAAUUUUUUUAACUGACGAUUUACAUGCACUAUGAUAUUAUAGAUAUAAUAAAAUUUCAUUUUUAAUAUUUAUUGAUUCAUGGUAAGUUUUUCAUGAUUAAAAGUAUAUGCUUUAAUAUUGUGAUGAGUAUCCACUUAUGAGUAUUUAUCAUUUCUGAUCAAAGCAUAUACCUUUUAUAUGAAAUUAAUGUUAACUAACAUAUUUUAAUUUUUUAAGCAAUUCUUCAGAGUUAAAGUGGGGAAAGGAGUUUUUAAGAGUCAUAAUUAAUAUGUGUGAAGAGAAUAAACACUUUUUAUUAAAUGUAUAUUCAAAAGAAAAUUAAUUUGGAAACAAACUAAUAUGAUGACAAAUGAAGACAACAUGACCACUAAAAAAAUAUUUUGAGAAAGUGAGAAAUGAUUAACAAUAUUAGUGAAUGAUUAAAUUCAAGAAUAACAUGUCAUGAGUCACUUAUUUGUGCCUUUAAGAGUUAUAAUGGGUUCUUUUUCUAAACUUGUUGAGAUAACAAAUGUGAAUUAAAUUAUCAAACCAAAUGGUGUUUGAUAAAUUUAAAGGUAUCAUAACAUAUAGAUCCUUAAAUUUAUAGCUAGACUUAACAAGAGGAGUUAUCGUCAAUCUUUUAACUAGGUGUGAUUGGCCACCUAAUGAAUUUAUCUUUUUAAGGAGCUCCUAAACUUGACUAAAGAUCCCUAAAAGAAUAAGUUUUGAUCUACUAAUCAAACAAGGUUCGAAAGUUCAGUUAUAUAUGAAAAAUGUUAUAGCACCCCCACAUGUCCAUUAAAAGAUGAUAUCAUUUUAUUUUAAAUUAUCCUAAGGUUUUUAUGCUAAUGGUCUUAAAUUUAAUAUUGAAAAUAACUUUUAAGAUUUUUUCAUCAAUCUAGUAGAAUUCUUAAAAAAUACUUCCUCACUUCAAAAGUAUUUAAGAACCCUAUUUAUUUUUUUCAAGAGGCUCCGUCGUUCGAAAAAAGUUUAAUCAUUUUUUUACGUUAGUUUUUUAUUGAAAAUAUAUCUAAUUAUUCCACCAUUUGGGCCUAUUUAAAAAUUUCUUUUUAAUUUCUAAAUUUUUCACCAUUUAGGUCAAUCUAGAAAUUUUUUUUUUUUUUUAUCUUUGGAAAGAAAAUAAUAUGACAAUUAUUUUUUGAAGUUUCAUUUAAAUUCUUCCACCAUUUGGAACAAAUUUAAAGAAAUUUCUCACAUAAAAUUUUUUUAGAUAAUCAUCCAUUUGAAAUUUUUAAGAAUCUCAUCAUUGGAUAAUUAUCAAAUAUUUUCAACCAAAAUUUUUAUUUAGAAAAGAAUACAAUUACUUUUAUUAAAAUUUCAUUUAAAUUAUUCUUUCAUUUGGGAUAAAUUUAAAGAAAUUUCUCACCUAGAGAUUUUAUAAAAAUUUAUCAUUUGAAAUUUUUAAGAAUCUCAUCCUUGGAUAAUUAGUAUUUAAUUCCAAAAUUUUUAUUAAAUUUUUUUAUCAAAAAUAAAUAUUAAUUAUUAUUAUUAUUGAAACUGUAUCUAAAUUAUUUUACCAUUUAUGACAAAUUUAGAAAAAAAAAUUACCUAGGAAUUUUAUAGAAAUUUAGUAUUUGAAAUUUCUCAAAAUUUCAUUAUUGGAUAAUUAUUAUUUAUUCUAAAAAAAUAUUUAUUUUGUUUUAUAUUUUUUAUUUUUUCUAAAAUUUAAUCAUGCAAAAAUACUAAUAAAUAAAUAAAUAAAAUAAAAAAAAUAUCAAAACAAGAAAACGGUUUCACUCAACUACAAGCAAAGGAAACAACUAAAACACAAACUCGUGACUCGGCUUGGCUGGAGCCAAUGACAGGGAUGCAGGUCGAAAGCGGGUCAAGUGCUCGAAUUGGGUCAGCUUGAACAGAAACACGCGGAUCCUGAGACUGUUUAACCUUUAAAACGAUGUCAUUUUGGGUUGUAUAAAAGGCAAGAAUCUUUUUUUUUCUCAGAUCUUCUUCUUUCCCUCUCUCUCUUCUCUUUUUUUCUCUCUCUAGAAAAUAAUGAACACUGGUUGAAUCUUUAUCGAAUUCUAAAAAUUUACAUCGAAAUCUAGGUUAGUUUGUUAGAAGUUCAUCGAUUUCUAGAAAACUAAUGUCGAAAAUUGAAAAACUUGCCAGAAUCUGAAAAUCUCAUUGGAAAGUCAUGGAAUCUUUAAAUAUCGUUUAAAUAUUCAACCGAAAACUAGAAAUUUUUCCAAAAAAAUUAAAAAAAAUAUUCUUUUUAACAUAAAAAAAUUGUCUGGCUUCUUUUGUGUGCUUUUUUUUUUUAUCUUUAUGUGUUUUUUUCUCUGCCUUUCUUUGUGUCCCCUGCUUGGCUAAUUUGGGUUUGUAUUUAUAGAGUUUAAAUCAAAGAACCCAAAACCAGAAAGGGUUUUAAUCCCCUUUAAGUUUUAACUCUAAAUUUUAAGUUCAACUUAAACUCUUCAAUCUACACACACAUCGUUUCACACAAACUCAACCUGCCAAAUUUUUUAUUUUUAUUAACAAAAACAAAAUUAAUUAAAACCCUGGAUAAAUUUGGGUGUCUACAGUUGCCUCUCUUUACGUAUUUUUCAUGAAACAAAAAUUGUACAAAGACAUAGACAACCCAAUUAGGAAUCAACUCAACAUAUCUUUUUUAUUUUUUUAAGCGUACAUAAACUUCUUGAAUAACAUAAAAAUUCCUUUAAACAAAGGCUCCAUGAUUUAAAAAAUAAAUAAGCUCUCUUAAAUAAAGGCUCAAUAAUUUUAAAAACUAAAUAAGGCUUUUCUAAGUAGAGGCUCAAUGACUUUUGAAAAGUAAAUAAAACUCCUUUAAGCAAAGGCUCAACAAUUUUGAAAACUAAAUAAGGUUCUCUAAGUAGAGGUUUAACGAUUUUUGAAAAAUAAAUAAGGAUCCUCUAAACAGAGGCUUAACGACUUUUGAAAAGUAAAUAAAGCUUCUCUAAACAAAAGCUUAACGACUUGAAAAAAAAUAAGGCUCCUCCAAACAAGGCUCAACAAUUUCAAAAAGUAAAACAGGACUCCUUUAAACAAAGGCUUAAUUGCUUUGAUAAAUAAAUAAGGCUCUUAUAAAUAGAGGCUCAAUGACUUCAAAAAAUAAAUAAGGCUUCCCUAAACAGAGGCUUACAACUUUUAAAAAAUAAAUAACGCUUUUAAAAAAGCUUCAACUUUGGAAAUAAAUAAAUUUNNNNNNNNNNNNNNNNNNNNNNNNNNNNNNNNNNNNNNNNNNNNNNNNNNNNNNNNNNNNNNNNNNNNNNNNNNNNNNNNNNNNNNNNNNNNNNNNNNNNNNNNNNNNNNNNNNNNNNNNNNNNNNNNNNNNNNNNNNNNNNNNNNNNNNNNNNNNNNNNNNNNNNNNNNNNNNNNNNNNNNNNNNNNNNNNNNNNNNNNNNNNNNNNNNNNNNNNNNNNNNNNNNNNNNNNNNNNNNNNNNNNNNNNNNNNNNNNNNNNNNNNNNNNNNNNNNNNNNNNNNNNNNNNNNNNNNNNNNNNNNNNNNNNNNNNNNNNNNNNNNNNNNNNNNNNNNNNNNNNNNNNNNNNNNNNNNNNNNNNNNNNNNNNNNNNNNNNNNNNNNNNNNNNNNNNNNNNNNNNNNNNNNNNNNNNNNNNNNNNNNNNNNNNNNNNNNNNNNNNNNNNNNNNNNNNNNNNNNNNNNNNNNNNNNNNNNNNNNNNNNNNNNNNNNNNNNNNNNNNNNNNNNNNNNNNNNNNNNNNNNNNNNNNNNNNNNNNNNNNNNNNNNNNNNNNNNNNNNNNNNNNNNNNNNNNNNNNNNNNNNNNNNNNNNNNNNNNNNNNNNNNNNNNNNNNNNNNNNNNNNNNNNNNNNNNNNNNNNNNNNNNNNNNNNNNNNNNNNNNNNNNNNNNNNNNNNNNNNNNNNNNNNNNNNNNNNNNNNNNNNNNNNNNNNNNNNNNNNNNNNNNNNNNNNNNNNNNNNNNNNNNNNNNNNNNNNNNNNNNNNNNNNNNNNNNNNNNNNNNNNNNNNNNNNNNNNNNNNNNNNNNNNNNNNNNNNNNNNNNNNNNNNNNNNNNNNNNNNNNNNNNNNNNNNNNNNNNNNNNNNNNNNNNNNNNNNNNNNNNNNNNNNNNNNNNNNNNNNNNNNNNNNNNNNNNNNNNNNNNNNNNNNNNNNNNNNNNNNNNNNNNNNNNNNNNNNNNNNNNNNNNNNNNNNNNNNNNNNNNNNNNNNNNNNNNNNNNNNNNUUCUUUUUCGGAGAAACGGCCCAACCAAGGAUCACCCUCUACACUGGGGGGCAAUUUUUGAAAAAAUUUUUUCACAAAAGGUCUCAAAAAAUAAAAAAAAAAUAAAAAAAAUAAAAAAUGCCACACAUGACUUGGGCAAAGUAAUGAGAUCCUUUUGUGUGAAGAAAGAAAAAAAGCAGUGAAAUGAUGUGGGGCAAAAUGCCAAGCUGCAUCAAAAUAAUCCUUCGGUCUUGAACCAUUUUUAAUAUAUGUUUUGAGCCUAUUAUAUCUAUUUUUUUUAUGACCCUUCACCUUGGCCUACAUUACAACCUUGAAAAGUCCAUUUGGAUCAAGUGUGAAUACCCAACUUGAAUGAUCAUAGGUUGAGCAAAGAUAUGCUCAUUGAUGAAGCAAUGAAAUCAUGCUACAUGAAAAUAUCAAACACUGGAUGAAAAAUGAGAAAAGAGAAAAAAAAAAAAGAAAAAAAAAAAAGGGAAAAAUGAGAAAAUGAGAAAAUGAAAAAAGAGAUCCAAAUUGAAAACCUGAAAGGGUGAUUUUGGUACCAAAAAAAAAAAGAUCCAGGUCAAAUGGCUCACAUGAAUGAAAGAUCAAAGACAUCUGAAGAUACCCUCAAAAGACUGGGGCAGAGUUCGCCAAGCUUAAGAUGACUUCAACAGUAAAUGAAUGAGUUUUUUGAAAAAAGAAUCCUAGAUUAAUGUUGAAAUUGUCUGAAUAUUCAUCAUUUGGACAUACCAUUUUACCUCAAUGACAUCCAAUUUAUUUUCUUUCCCAUUUAUUUUCUACCAAAAAUAGAUCUCCAUUGAUUAUCUUUACCAUAAUUCACUUUCUGUCCUCUUAUUGUUACACCCUUAGAAUGAAUUGAGAAAAUGCUUGAUUGCAUUGUAUUUGUCAAAAAUUUGAAAUGAUAAUGAAUGAAUGAAUAUGUGCUUAAAAGAAUCUUACAUUCAUUUGAAAAGAAAUCUAAGAUGAUGAAGAAAUGGUAGAAAACCUAAAAGAGAUGAUGGGGCAAAUCUUGAAAAGUGAUGAAUUGAUCGAUAUGACUUGCAAGAUAUGAUUGAAUGAUGAAGACAAUCAGUAGACAAAGUCUGUUUUGGAAUGGUUGAUGCUGAGACAAGGACCCAGUGAUGGUGGAUGAAAUUUGUUUUGAAAUUUGCUAGUGCUGAGAAAUUCAUUGAAUGAUGGUCAAGGGAUGAUCGAUUGAUGAAGUUUAUUCCAAAGUAUUGAAAAACAGAACAAGGAAAGAAUGUGAGUGGAAAGGACAAUUGAGAGCUACACUGGUUCAAUCUUAGAAGAGCAGUGCAAUUGGAUCCUUGAGGAAUCAAAGGGCUUGACACCCAAGAAAGAAAAAAAAGAGCUUGAGAAACUUGAGUACCAUACAUUAAACAGGAAUUAAUUGGCCAACAUUUGCAUAGCAUGCAUUGAAAAUCAUGCACAUUGCAUAGCAUACACUACUUUCAGGAAAGUAUAGUGUACAAAUUCAAGAAGCAGGGGUGUUCCAACAUCCCACAUGGAAAAGACAGAUAUGAAAAGACUUUGCAAGUUUGAGAAGAAACUUGUCAGGUAAGUUCUUAAUCCUUGAAAUAGGAUGUCUCUUGGUAUCAGGGUUGAUUUAUAAGACUUUUAGGCAUGAUCUCCUGAAAUUCCCUCAAACACAACUUUCAACUCCUUCGGACAUGAUUGUCUAGGAGUAUUUACUUUUCAAAGUUCGUUGCCUCUGUUUAGAGGAGCAAUUUACUUUUCCAAAGUCGUGGUACCUCUGUUUAGAGAAGCAAUUUACUUUUCAAAGUUCGUUGCCUCCAAAGUCGUGGUACCGUCUGUAGAGGAGCAAUUACUUUUACAAAGUUCGUCGCCUCUGUUUAGAGAGCAUUACUUUCCAAAGUCGUCGUACCUCUGUUUAAGAGGAGCCAAUUUACUAUCAAGUUCGUUGCCUCAUGUUUAGAGGAAGCAAUUACUUUCCAAAAGUGUGGUGCCUCAUGUUAGGGAGCGGUUGGUAAAAAAAAAUAAAAAAAACAAAAAAUAAAAAAAACCAAAAAAACAAAAAAACAAAAAAAACAAAAAAAACAAAAAAACAAAAAAAACAAAAACCAAAAAAUGAUUGAGUGAGUCUUGAUUGAGUGUCUACGUUUUUGCGCAAUCUUGUUUCCACAGAAAUGUGCAAAGAGGGCAGUGUAGACACCCAUUCGGUCGACCCAGAUCAAUUGGCCUGACCCAAAUGGGUAAGCCCAAUUCAAUUUUAUCUUGUAUUUUUUUUCUUCUUUUCUUCUUCUUUUGUAUUUUAUGUAUUGUAUUAUUUAUUAUUAUUAUGUAUUAAUAUAUGUAUAUAUUUAUUUAUUAUUUUUUGUUAGUAUUUAUGUGUAUUUUAUUAUUUAUGUAUAUAUAUAUAUUUUUUAUCUUUUUAUUUUAUUCAUUUUUGUAUUUUUACUUAUCUAAUUAUAUAUCUGAUAUAUUUUUUUUAUUAUUAUUUAUCCUAUAAUAUCUGCUGAUUUAUCUUCUCUAAUUAUCUAGUUUUUUAUUUUAUUUGAUUUUGAUUUUGGAGGGCUGAGAUUGAAGGCUGAAGAAUCUCAUUGGAAAUGGGAAUUCAAUCAGAAGAGUCCAGUGGGAUUCAAAGAUUGAAUUCUCGUCCAAGGAGGAAUUGGGAUUGAUCAGGAACUCCUGAUCAAUCCCUAUAAAAGGGACUCUGGAACAGAAUGCAAGACACACAGAAAACAGUAAGCAAAGCUACUAAUUUGAGAGAAAAUGAGGCGUAUAGGAAGCUAGGAAAAGUUUAGGAGUGUUCUGGGAGUGAGAAAAAAUUUUUAGAGAUUUUUGGCGAAAAUUUUUUUGGAAAUUUCUGGGAAAUUUCCAGAAUCCGGCAAAAAUUCCGACGAAAUUUGAAUUUUUCGACAAAAAUUCCGGCGAACAUUGAAGUUUCCGGUGACCUAUCCAGUUUCCGGCAAAGAAUCCCAGAAACCGGCGAUCUUCCGGCCAACUUCCGGCGAAAUUUCCAGAUUCCGGUGACAUUUUCCAGAAUCCGACAUCAGUGUUCUUCGAUUUUUAGAGAGAAGGGAGAGAAAAAGGGAAGAAGAGAGAGAGAGAGAGAGGAGCGUUCUGCCGAAAAAAUGAAGGGGAUUGCCUUUUAUACCCUCCCAAAACGACGUCGUUUUGGGCUUUAAGUUAACCAGGGGAUCCGCGCGUUUUGCCGAACCCGACCCGACCCGGGCGUCGACCCGCUUUCUGACCCGCGCGUGCCAGCCCCUUCGAGCCGAGCCGAGCCGAGCCAAGCCGCCAAGCCGCUCCCCCGAGCCGUUUCUCUUCCUUGAGCCGAGCCGAGCCGAGCCGCGAUCCGAGCCGCUCCAGGUUUUUUUUUUUUUUUUCUUUGUUUAAUUUGUUAUUUUAUUUUUAUUUAUAGAUUAGGUUUAUGUAAUAUUCUUUUAUUUAUUUUUUAUUUUCUUUAAAUAAAAAUAAAAAAUUCUAAAAAAAAAUAUUUUUAGGAAAAGUUGAAAGUAUCAAUUGUCUUUAGAAAUAAAUUUCCAAAAAAUAUUUUUGGUGGAAGAAGUGAAAGUAUCAAUUUUCCUCAGAAAUAAAUUUCAAAAAAAAAUAUUUUAGAGAAAAGUGAAAGUAUCAAUUUUUCUUGAAAAUCAAAUUUCAAAAAAAUAUUUUUGGGGAAAAGUUGAAAGUAUCAAUUUUCCUUGAAAAUCGAAAUUUCCAAAAAAUAUUUUUGGGGAAAAGUUGAAAGUUAUCAAUUUUCCCUACAAAAAAAAAUAUUCUUUCCUUCCUUUCUAUCUUAAUUUUGAUUUUGUUUUUUUCUGUUAAAUAAUCCGACGACAGAGCCUCUGCAAGUGAAAUAUUAGUUUUUCUUGCAUACUCUUGAGGUGAGGGAAUUUUCUCAAUUUUCUGCUAAAAGUAUUAGAGUCAAUUGAGAAUAAUUUUCAAUAAUUAACUACUUGGUAAAAUUUUAAGGCUUUUGGAUAACACAAAUUCAAGCUGGUACCAUCUUUUGAUGGGCGUUGUGAGGGUACUAUAACCUUCCUCACACGUAAUCGAACUCCCGAACCCUGUUCUGGUUAGUAGACCUGAACCUAUUCUUUUAGGGGCCCUUAAACUUAGGUGUUCCCUUGAAGGACAGAUUCCAUAGGUGGCCAAUCGCACAUAGAUAAAAAAGAUUGGUGGCGACUCCCUAAAAGUCAAUGUCUAGUGAUAGAUCCCCGGAUCUAGACGUUAUGACAGCAGUAGUAAUAAAACUAUAAAUAAAUAAAAGGGACAAAAUUACAUUUAAGUUAAAACGAGACCAGAAAAAAUGGGUGUCUACAACAUCAAAAGUGAAAAAUCUUUUAAUCAAGCUAGCCUGCCAACUUUUAAUUGAAAAUAUAUGUAUUUGGUGAGUUUAUGUUGGUAAUAUUAAAAAUAAUUUUCACACAAAUUAAUUGAUCAAUGACAUAUAUAGUUUCAACAAAUUUCUUUCGUGAUUUUAUAUUUAUUUAUUAGUUAUAUUUUGGUAUUUAUUAAUUAAGUCUUUAAUUAAAAGCUUUUUAUUUUUUGAAAUUCUUAAUUUAUUUUUGAACUUUAUUUUUAUAUAUAAUUAUACUUACUUGAUUAAAGAAUAUAUUAUGUACAAAUUGUUUUAAAUUCACAAUCUCUUAAAAUCAAUUUUAAGAUCAUAUCAAUUGAUUUGAAAUCACAAAAAAAAAAAAAUUUUUUUCUUUACAAAAUAUGCACUAAUUUUUUUUCUUUCAAUUUUAGUUAUGUAAUCAUUGAAAUGCAAUGAUUGGUUAGAAUUGGUCAUAUAUAUAUAUAUGUAUAUAUAUGAAAUUAAUUUUCGUCAACUGUCUAUUUUGAAUAGAGAUGGUAAUAGAUAGGGUAUGAGAUAAUAAAAAUUUUUUAUUCUCAUAUUCGAAUUUUUAUAUUUUAUUUAUUUCAGUAUUUAUAUCUAACGGAUAUUUUAAAUUUAUCUCCAUUUUCAUCCUUACAAAUAUUUUUUGAAUAUGAAUAAUUUUUGUAUCUAUAAUUUUUUUUAAAAUGUAAAAAUAAAAAAUAUAUUUUUAGCUUUUUUUAUUUUAGCUUACAAAUUUGAAUAAUUUUUAAAUAAAUAUUUAUUAAUAUAUUUUUACAAUAAGAAUAUAGUAGUUUUGAUUAAUCAAAAUAAUAAUUCAUAUUAUUUAAUAAAAAAUCUAUUUGCUAAAUAUAUAUAUAUAUAUAUAUAAGAUACAAGUACAAGUACGAGAUGGAUGCAAUAUUACUCAUCUUUGUUCCCAUAUUUGAUAAAAUUUCUAAAAUCAUAUCCAACCUUACGUGAAUAAAAAGUUAAAAUUUUUAUCGAAUAUGAAUAACAUUAAUAUCUCUAAUUUUGAAUAUUUUAAUAUUGGCAAGUCAUAUAUGGAAACUAAUCUAGUACUAGUAAGGACUAAGGAAUGAGUGAAGAUAAAUAUAUAUAUAUAUAUAUAUAUAUUGAAGCUAUAAUAAAUUGAAUAAUUUAUUAUUACAUCAUAAUCAACUUACAUCAUUGAAUAAUCUACUAACAAAUUAAAACAUAAUUAAACAAUCAAACUAACACCUAAUGAAAUUUGAAUGUAGAAUCUCUUAGUUUUAGGACUUUAUCCUUAUGUUAAGCCAAAUCCUUAUUGACAUUAUAUAUAUAUAUAUGUAUGUAUGUAUGUAUAUAAGGUAAGUCAACUUACAUCAGUAUAAAAUUUUUUAGUUUUAUAUAUUUUUUAUAAUUGAUUUUAAUAAAUUCGAGAAACGAGAGAGACAAAUAAAAAAAUAGUUUAAUAUCAUCCUUUAGAUGUAUUAAAAUGGUUAAAAAAUAUAAAAUUAAAUUUUAUAUUAGUGUAAGUUGAUCCUUCCACACACACAAAUACACACACAUAUAUAUAUAUGAAGAGAUCAAUUUACAUAAAAAAAUUUUAUAUUUUUUUAAUUAUUAAUUUUAAUAAAUUCAAAAAAUAAGAUUAUUUUAUUUUUUCUGUUUUUACUUAUUUUUUAUUUUUUAAAUUUAUUAAAAUCAAUAAUUAAAAAUUUGUAAAACUUUUUAAUUUUAUACUAUUGAAAUAUAUAUAUAUAUAUAUAUAUAUAUACACGUACGCGUUUGUUCGCACCUAAAUUACUAACGUACUUUGUUGUCCUUUUCAACAUUCUCAACCAACCAACGAUAUCGCUUUCUUUUCAAGAGACUAUGAUCACAAAGUGAUAAUGAAAGCAAAGCUUUGGAAACCCAUUUCUUUCCCUUCAUCCUUCCCCCAAAUGAUUAGCUCCUUUGCCUGCCUCUCAAUUUUUUGUUGUCUCCAUAGAAAAGAUAACAAUAUUUCUUCUCGCCAGCUAGUCCUCCUAGCUAGCUCUACUAGUGUAACUUCUAAUUGCACCAACUAGGGCAUGGUAAUUUCGUGCUACUGGUCUCCCAAUGACCACUUGUAGCAACAAGAAAAUUGGGAUUCAUGGGCAAUUUUCCCUUUUUCCAAUGCAUGCAAAUUUCAACAAAGUCAUGAUAUUGUACGCUUCUUUCCUCCCUGGGGUUGUUCUAGUGGGAUGUAUCUUUUCACAUAAUUGCCUUGGUUAACUUAAAUCUUAGGCUAUUAAAUUGUUUCAAACCCUUCUAUUAAGGUGUGAAAUUUCAAGAUUCCAUGGUCCCUCUUGAGUCCAUCCAUGUACCCAAUCCACUAGCUUUUCAGGUCAAAAGUUGCAAUUAGAGUGCCUUGAGAAGAAAAAGCCUUCCAUGUCUGCUGAAAAAGCUAAGGAGAUAAACCUGAUUAAAGUUUCCUAUCCUCAAUUGACAGCAAAAUUUAUGAUUUGACACCAAUGAAACUCUAAGUAACAUCUUUGUUAUAUUUUUGAGUUUGGUCCACACGUUUUUACUUCUUACUUAAUUUCGAUUCCAAUUUAAUUACCCUUUAAUUGGUUGUACCGAUUAGAUGACUAUAUAUGACACAAGCCGACGCUCCACAAGAUUAUUUGGAUAUGACAAUUCAUGGUUUAAGCUGAAUUUGUGUUAGAAUCACUUUGAAACGGACUAAAACGGCUGACCUGUGGUUCUUCCAACCUACAUAAUAAUAAUAAUAAUAAUAAUAAUAAAAGGAAUUAAGGAUGGUUGCUUCCAAAGUAAAUUUGUCUCGUUUUUUCAAUUAUAAUUAACUGCAUUAACAAGUGAUAAUUAUUAUUAUUUCAAUUAAUCUUUUAUCUACCGACUCUUUGGUACUUAAAAGUAGUACUAGUCACCUAUCAAUGCAUGUUGUGCUCUUCAUUAUAGUUUUUUUUUUAACGUCAAUCUCAUGGUAAAGUUUAAUUGAAUUACUUUUUUUUUUUGCAAGGCGUUAGGUAAGGAAAAUGUUCUUGUUUCGGAAUUUUUUUGGAACUGGGUUUGUUUAUUAUUAAUCGGUCUAUCUUGUUUCAGUUAAAGGUUGCCGACAACAGACAUUAGAAUCUUAUUGUUGUUAUCAUGUUUCUCUUUUUCAAGAUUUGGCUGAAAUUAACUUUCCUUGAAUGCAAAAAUAAUUUUCAAAGUCUACAACAUGAAAUUUUUAUUUUGAAAACUUGAAUCCAUCGUGAUGGCUUGUGACGCAAGAAUAAUAUUGAUCAUUUUCUGGCCAUACUUCAGAGGUAAAUUGAAAAGGAUGUGCAAGAUAUCUUAGAAGGAGCCCCUAAAAUUCUAAGGAAAAACCUGGUUUUCUAUGUUAUGUUUUUCAUUUUCUCCAACGCUAUUUAUCUAUUGAAUCACAUGUUGUAAUGCGCUUACAUUCUCCUUCUAUUAUUUUCGGAAAAUAUUAGAGAUUUAAAUUCGUUUUGAGUUUGCUAUUGACAUAUAUUCACACAAGGCUUUUGCCUAAUAGCUGAUUUUAUGACAUUAUUAUUAGCUAUUGGUAGCAGUUAUGUGAAUGGAUCCUGGAGUCCGUCUCAGCCCUGAACAAUGAUUAAAAUUUAAAAGUAAUGUGGAUUUGCAAUGUUGACAAUCUUGUGUUAGAAAAGCUAUAAUUAAGAGCAGGCUUACCCCUGUGGAAGAUGAAGGGAGGUCCAUUGGAUUUGGGGCCAUGCCAGCUGGAGGAACAAGGAAUAGCCGAGUCCGAACUCCCAAUGGCAGUGGCGCACCAAUUAGCUUACAUCUUGGAUUCUUGGUCUAUCUAUGGUCCAAUUUUGGACAAACAUCUGGACCAAGUUGCCAACAAUUCACAAUCACUUGCAGCAAGCCACCAAUUUUCUAUAGGAAUAAAUAAUAAUGCAAUAUUUGGCUCUCGAAAUUAACAGAUACUCUGGAUCCAGAGAGGUUUCUCUAAAAACGUAGCAUCCAAUUUUUUUGAAUCUAAGUUAAAUAAAGGCCAACUUGUUGCUUUUUUUUAUAACAGCAUUUACCAUUUUGAAUUGCAUUUAAAAAAAAGAAAAAGAAAAAAAAAGCAAGGCUUUUGGAGAAAAGAAAAUGAUGCAUUAUUCUUUGUUUGGACACUUAAAAGUAAAGUAGGGAAAGGAAAUUAAGAUAUUAUUAAACUUUUUGUUUGAUUUAGAUGUGAAAAAAAAAUGAUACAUUAUAAUAAACUAUUUUUCAUUACACUGUGUAAAGUUCGUAUGUAGUUUUAUUUGAAAAUUGUAAAACAUAAUAAGGGCACAAUAAUAUUUUUUUUUUUAAAAUUAUUUUUUCUUUCCUUUUCCUUUAAUUUGGAAAUUAAAAAAUGAGGAUUUUUUUUUUUUAAAAAAAAGAGUGUUGAACCUCCCUUUCCUUUCUUUUAAUUAAAUUGCAAUCCAAAGUAAUAAUGCAAAAUUUUUCAUUAUCCUUUCCCUUUCCACCUCUCUCUCCUCAGUUCAAACAUACUCUUAACGACUAUUAAUUUUAAGUUUCUCAGAAGAUAUUAGUAGUACAAAGUAUAUACCAAGAAAAAAGGUUGUACAAGUUAAUAAAUCGUAAAGGCAACAACUAUUUUUUAUUGAAAUAAAUGAAUUACUAAAAUUAAAGAGAACAGAAAAAUGAAGGACAUAAAAGGGUAAUACAAUAAUUUAAAAUGCAAUUAAAAAAAAGAAAAACAUUGUAAGAUUGGUAUUAAAUUUAUAGAAAUUUAUAAAUAUUACUAAUGAUUAAACAAUUGGUUAAAAUAUUGAAAAAACCCAUGUUCUUUCAUAUUUUUUUUAAAGUAAGUCUUGUGUUUUGAUUGUACCCAAAUAAAUAUCUAAACUUUUAUUUAUAUUCGUGCAAGCUUUUAUCUUUGGUGAAAAAAUAAUUAUCUUUAAUCUGCGUGUCAUCUGACUUUUAAAAAUAAAAAUAAAAAUUAAUAUUCUUUUGAAAUUUCGGAGGAUAGUUUUUGAGUUUUUUAGUCAUUUAUAGUGAUUUUUUUUUUUUUUUGUGUUUUUUGGUUAUCUAUAGUGUUUUUUUUUUUUUUUUUUUUUAGAUUUCCAUGGUUUGGAUUUUUGGGAAAGAUUUUUGGAAUUUGGAAAAUUUCAGCCAUUGACUACCAUAAAAGAUGAUGAAAGACUUUUUUCUAGUAGCUGGGAGGAGAUGCAGCCUUCGUAGUACCAAACUGAAUCAUAACCCAGAAAUUGAAAAUGACGUACAAAAGACCGGAAGGAGUUUAUUUGAAAACAGAGUGACGCUUACAAGUUACAACCAAAUAGUGCAGCACAAGGACACCAACGAAAGGCAGAACAGAAAGUAACGGAUUCUUAAAUUACUCCCUAACUUUUCAAUCCACUAUGUAUAUCAUCCGACUACUACACAAGCAAACCUCAACCAGAAAGCGGCCUAAAAUAGACCUAAGAAUAACCCAAAGGGCCUUCUAAAUCCAGGGCUUACUUCUUUCCACCUUCUUGGGUCUUUACCAACUUUAUCAUACUCAUGCAUCAUUCUUCCUCCUUCUAGGCUCCUAUUCUGGAUCUUCGGGCCCAAAUCUCUGGUCCUCUGGCCCAAAUAUCCUGAUGUCUCCUGCCAGCGCCGCUUUGCUUGCUGUGGCUGCUGAGACAUUGGCGUCUCAUUCCACGAAUAUAAUUCACAAUCCACGAGAGCGAUGAAAGUCCAGUGACCCAAUAGCUCCAGAGAUCAAGAACCCAGCAAUGGAACCUGCAAUGACGAGAGCAGUAGGGACAAAAACGGGGCUGAAAACCAGGAAAAUUGGCGUGGCGAUAGCAAGACCUACUAGGGUUCCGAUAAGGCUCAAACUAGCAAGCAAGAGAAGGGUGCCGGCGUGCAGCCAACAGGAAGAAGGGUGACAACUGCAAGAACUUUUGACGUUGAGGAACCGUUUUCUUGAAAGAAAUUCUUCGAGUUAUCAGUUUGGUUGAUGCUCAGCCAUGGCUUCAGAGGUUGCUUUUAUUUUAUGGAUUGCACUGAAAAGACAAUAAGAAGGGACACCUGAAAGGAGAGGGGGUGGAGGGUGGAUGGAGUCGCGAAUUUACAGCAUAUUUGGGAUGAAGGAAAGGGAGAGAGAGGGAAAAGAAUUAGUAAGUAAAAUUAAAAGAAAAAUGAAAAAUUUUUUAUAUGAAUAAAAAAAAGAAGGUAUAUUUAGCCUCACUUGAUUUUUUUUUUAAUUUUUAAUUAUUUCAAAUUGCAAAAAAAAAAAAAAGAAGAAGAAAAAGGAAAGAAAUAAAAUUUUAAAAUAUAAAAUAAUUAUUAUAUUUUAUUAGUUUUAAAUUAAAAAUGUAUAAUUUUGAAUUUAAAAUUAGAUUAAGAAUAUAAAUAUUAUUUAUUAAUAAAUUUAUUAUUUAUUAUUUAUUUAUUUUAUGAAUUUCAUAAAUUUUAUUGAUAAUUAUUUAUAAAAAAAAUAAAAAAAUUGAAAAUAUAAAAUAUGUUAAUAUAAACAUAUAAUAUUAUAAUAAAAAUAAAGAUUAUCAAAUGUUAUAAUCGAAUAAAAAAUAAAAAAUUAUUUUUUAUUAUUUAUUUAAAUAAUAGUUAUUAAAAUUUUUUAUUUUUAUUUAUUUUAACGAUUCAAAUAAAAUAUAUAAUUUUUUAUUUUUUAAAUUUUAUUUAUUUAUUUAUUUACAAACGAUUAUCCAAACACAGGAGAAACAAAGUGGCUGACGCGUAGAAUUUGGUGACACUUGUUCGAUAGAUGGUGUAAACUGGUCUGCAUAUAAUUAUGUCUUUUUUUAAGUGUCUUUUGUCAGACUGUUGUGACGACAUCUAGUGUUACCCGAGAAAAUAAUAUCUAUAACAAUAAAUAAGAGCAAUCCUCAUUUUAUCUUGAUUGUAUAAUUCAUCAAGGUAAAGAUGUUUCGAGAAUACAAAACUUUUUCUUCGUUUGAGAACAUCCUCGUCUUCAUAAAAUAUACCUUUUUGAAAUCGGACACCUCAUCAUUUUAGAAAUCUGACAUCUCCAUAAAAAACAAACUCUCUUUAGAAAUCUAACAUCUCCUCUCUUCUAAUUUACACACCGAAAACAAAAAUGACAAAAACAAACAAAGGAGAGAUUGGCACUUCUAGACGUAGCUUCGGAGGAGGCGGUGGUAGGAUUGACCAUGGCUCUAAAGGCAGGCGCCGUGGUGAAAAAAUGGAGAAGAGAAAUGGCUACCAGUAACAAAGCUCGAACAUUUGGUGAAACCUGACAAAAAUUACUUCCCUGGACCAAAUCUGAAAACUUGGAAGACGAAGAGAGGGGAAGUCGUACAUAAUAAAACUAAAAGCUUCUAGAGUUGUGGAUAAAGAAGCUUUCCAUUUGGUGAAUCUUUCCCCGAUCGGCACCAAGUGCGUCUCCAAAAUCCAGAACAACAUCGUCGUUUUGGCUGACUAUGUCGUUGUUUUCGAGGAUCACGGUCACAUCCCUACCAUUUCUUUCAAGGUUUAAUUCUGCUUUUCCCCUUUUCUUCUUCUAAGUUUUCAUAUUUGGAUAUGUUAGAGCAAGAUUAUUAAGAUUUUCUUUCAAAUGAUGAAUAAUAAUCAAUACAUCUAAAACUAAAGGGCGCAAGGAUUGAUUUUUAUGUUCAUACUUUAAAUCAGAUAGAUUUGUUAUUGUUUUACUUGAAAUAGUUGAUUUUCAAUUCUGACGUAGAAUUAUUUUGAUUUAAAGGAAACUUUACUUCCUCGAGCAUAACUGACUUGCUGCAAACUCAUCCCUACAUAAGUUCUAACAUCCCAUUGACAGAAUGUCAAUUCGUGAGAAUGCAAAUUGACCAAGGUUUGCCAUAUGGGAACAAUCUUCAUCAUUGGGAGAAUGCAACGCGUGGUCAUUUACAUUCACAACUCAGUAGGCUGGUAAUUACCUAGCAUGUUUCCAGUCGACGAACCAUACUCAUGGAGGUGUAGAAAAAAAUCCAAUAGAUUAUUUCAUUCACGCAAUAUACAUAAGAUAUAAACAUAUCUUUUUUUUUCUUUGCACAAGAUAUACACCAUAUACACAAGAUAUACAAAAAUACAAAAGAUAUAAACACAAGAUAUAAAUUAUUGUGAUUAUCACACUUUUUUUUUUUUUUUGCUCUGUUACGUGAUUGUUCCUCUUUAAUAUAGUGCGAAGUUAUUUCUCUUUAAUGCAAAUUUUAAAUUAAUUUAAUUUAUGGUUUAGAUUCUUCAGCUGAUUUGAAGCCUUUCUUUACCUAACGUUAUCUUCUAAUUGAUGUUACUUGGCAGUUGAGAUUUUAUAGAUAUUGUGAUAUUUUGACAAUAUUGGAAUUAUGCUUUUGGACAUCAAGGUACUUCAUUUUUUCUGAUAGAACACUGCUGUGUUUGUAUUUUCGUGUAUAAUUUGAUGUUGUGCUUUAUAUUCAAAGGGCAAAAGUCAUUAUGGAUAAAAUAAGGUACUUCAAACUUGCAGACCUCUGAUCAUCCAAAAAAGUUUUGAAGAUUUUAAGGAAACUAUGUAACUUCCUCCCUAUAGUUACUAGAUUACAGUGGCUAUUUCCAUAAAAUAAUAGUUUCAUCUGCUUCAUGUCUAAUUCAAAUGCCUUUGGGAUUAGAUUAAAAACAUUUUUAUUUGAUUAGAAGGGUUUUAGAAAGUUAUUGUGUCAUAAGAAUUUUUCGUUUGGGGGACUCAAUCAUUAUUAGAUUUUGUGAAAAUUUAUGAAAUCGUCACCAAUAUUUUAUUUGUAGAGUGUAAUUGAUCACCCAAAAAUAUCAUUUUUUAAUACAUAUCUUAAAAUUAAUUAAGAUUUACUAAAAAACAUUUUGGUCUGCGAAAUCAAUGUAGGGUUUGAGAGAACAGUUACAAGUGAAGAAGGUAUUAGCAUAUUCACAUCUCCUGUUCGAAGAACGAUACCAAUUAAACAUGUGUAAUCUUUUAACCUUGACAAUGUGGUCUUUUUUUAAUUUAAAUUUAAUUUCAUAAAAUUUAUUUAUAAAAAAUAUUUUUUGUUGUGAAAUCAAUAUUAUUAUUACUUCGUAUUCUAUAAAUUGUCCAACACUUUAGAGGAAUUUAUAGAAAAUUUUUAUUUAGAAAAUAUUUUAGGAAAAUUGACCAUUCCAAAAAUUUUUUAAAUUUCAUCAUAGAAUAUUUUAUUUAUUUAUUUAUUAAAAAUGAUUUUAAGAACAUCUCAACUCUUUGGCGAAAUAUAAAAUUUAUUAAACAAAUUUUAAGAUUAUCCCGACUCUUUAGUAAAAUCUUAAAAAUUUUAAUCAAAUUUUAAGACUAUCUCAACUUUCUAAUGAGAUCCUAAAUAAAAUUAUUUUUUAUUGAUGAUAAUUAAGAGAUUCAAUUAAACAUUUGAUUAAUUUUUAUUGUGAUUAUUUUAAUUUUUUUAUUUACAAUUUAUUAUUUAAAUAAAUAUUUAUUUAGUAAAAAAAUAAUUUUAAGAUCAUAUGACUCACUGGCAAAAUCUAUAAAUAUUUACUUGAUUAAUUAAGGAAAAUUGAACCCUUUUAAUUUUAUUUAAAAAUUACAUUUUUAGAAUCUUUAUUCAAACUAUCAAUUAUUAUUAUUAUUAUUUAAAUAAACUUUUAUUUUAGUAAAAAUAAUUUUAGAUUAUAUCAAUUCUAUGGUGAAAUCCAAAAAGUUAUUUUUAUUUGCAAUAAUUAAAGAAAACCCAACUCUUUCACUCUUCUUUAAAAAAUUAACAUUUUGGUAAAAUUUAAAUAAUAUUUUACUUGUAACAAAAUUUUAAUUUUUCUUAAAUAGAUAUUUUUUAAGGACUUUUUUAAAGAUUUAUACAUAUUAUUUUAUAUUAGGUCCAUAUUUUAUUUUAAUUCUAUUUUUUAAUUUUUUAUUUCAAAAAAAUGAAUAUUAAUAAUAACAUAAAAUAACAAUAAUAUCAUUAAAAAAAAAACAUAAUAAAAUGUAAUAAACAUUAACACAAAAUAAAUAAAAUAAGAAUCAAAAUAAAAAAUAAAAAGAAAAGGAAAAUCUGCCAAUUGGGCGAGUCACCUGGCGGUCGUGCGCAGGUCAACAGGUUGAUUCGUGGGUCAAAGGCUCCCAAAAUGACAUCAUUUUGUGACGCCUAUAAAAGGCCUAUUUCUGUUUUUUUUUUCUCCUUUCUCUUUAAAACCUAAAGCCUUUAUCUUUAGAAAAUACCUUUCCGUCGAUCGUCAUGCAAUUUUAGUUUUCGGCCAGUUGCCACUGUGCUUUCACCAAAAACUUCAAUUGAUAUUGAAAAAUUCAAAACACAAGCCAAUUUUGGUGGGUUUCAGUUCCCAGUGGUUGAAAACUUCAACACUUCUUUGAAAAAUUUAAAUUUUCCCAGAUUUCAACGAACCAAUAAAAAUUUAAAAAAAAAUCUCAAAAAAUUUAGAUUACUCCUUUUUUAUUUUCCAAACACUAUUUAAAAAUCAUAUUUUUAUAGAAAAACUCAAACCUAUAGAUCAAGAAUUUCAUUUUCAUGAUUUUUUUAUUUUUUUAUGUUUGCUGCACGUUCCUCUUAUGAGGAUAUGAUGUUUUAUGUUUUUCUUUGUGUUUGUGCGUGCCUUCUGUGUAGUUUUUUUUUUUUUGUUGCAGAGAUUGGGUCUAUUUAUAGAGCUGUUGAAGAUCAAAUCCUAGAUUGUCAGAGACUUUUGUGGAUUCUUUAUGGAAAAAUAAAGAUUUGUCUAGUGACUUUUGGUUGUUCGGAUUUUAUGCUACCAAGUUAGGUAAUGCAGAUAAAUUUUUAGUGCAUUAAAUGCACUUUGGUUUUGUGCCAGAAGAUGAAGAAAAGAUGUCAAAAAAUAAAAGAAAAAAAAUGAAAAAGGUGUCAGAAGAAAUGAAAAUAUAAUAAUAAUAAUAAAUAAUAAUAAUAAUAAUAAUAAUAAUAUAUUAUUAUAUUACUAUUAUAUGGAAAUGAGAAGAAAUAAAAAAUAUUGUCUACAAUUGUCUCUAUUUGUAUAUUGUGAGAAUCAUAAAUAGGGUAAAGAUGAAAAGACAACAAUUUUUUCAGGAUGAUGUUAUAAAUACGAACACCUUUUUCUCUUUUUUUUUUUGUUUUUUGUUUUUGAAAUUUAGAAGGCUUUUCAACGCAGAGGCUUGACAACUUUUGAAAAUUUAAAAGCUCCUAUAAGCUAAGUAGAGUUUAUGAAAUUUUAAAUUCAAAAGGCUCAUCUGAUUAAAGGUUAUAAAAUUUUCAAAGAAAGCUCUUUUGACCUGAGGUAAUGAAACUUUAAAUGGCUUUUUUGACCAUAGGCUAUGAAACUUUAAAUUUAAAAGGCUCAUCUGACUAGAGGCAAUGAAACUUUAAAAUUAAAAUUUUGAUAAGACUUAUAGAUAAUGUCCUAGUCUUACAAAUCAUUCCUAACUUUGAUGGAGUCCUCUAACCAGAGGCUAUGAAACUUUAAAUGGCUCAUUUGGCCAGAGGCUAUGACACUUUAAAGAAAGCUUCUCUAACCACAGGCAAUGAAACUUUAAAUGGCUCCUCUGAUUAGAGGCUAUGAGACUUUAAAUUUAAAAAGUUUCUCUGACCAGAGGUAAUGAAACUUUAAAUUUAAAGGUCUGAGAGCAUUUAUAGAUUAUGCCAUUUAGUCUUACAAAUCAUGCCUAAUUUUGAUGGAGUCUUCUGACCAGAGGCUAUAAAACUUUAAAUGGCUCAUCUGACAAAGGCUAUGACACUUUAAAGAAAGCUUCUCUGACCAGAGACAAUGAAACUUUAAAUUUAAAAGUCCGAGAGGACUUAUAGAUUAUGCCAUUUGGUCUUAGAAAUCAUGUCCAAUUUUGAUGGAAUCUUCUGACUAGAAGCUCUUAAAAUUAAAAAGGUAUUCUGACUAGAUGCUAUGAAACUUUAAAUGGCUCUUCUAACUAGAGACUAUGACACUUUAAAGAAAGCUCCUUUGACUAUAGGUAAUGAAACUUUAAAUAGCUCUUUUGACCAAAGGCAUUGAAACUUUAAAUUUAAAAAUUUGAGAAGCAAUGGUAUUUGAAAGAUUCCUUUAAAUAGAGGGUUUAUAUCUUUUUCACUUUUAACUUUUUUUUUUUGUUGAUCUUGGAUUGUUCAAGACCCAUAUAUCGUUGUGUCACAUGCGUGCAUAAAUGAUAUUUUCAUGCUUUUAUAAUGUCAUGCAGUGAAUUAAGAAUAUGAUGCAAAUGCACUUAUGAUGCAAAUGAGAAGAUCAUCUUCUUUUUUUGUAAUUUUUAUCAUUUUUAAUGCUCAAAAUUUUUCAUUGUCUUUUUCCAUUUCCUUUUCCAAAUCCCAUGUAUUUUAGCCAUUGAUUAGGUUCAGAUAAAAAGGUUUCUCUCUUCAUUUUUCAUAUUCAAUGUUUACCACUUUUAUAACUUAUAGGCCUAUUUCCUUAUCCACCUUUGUUCCUUACUAUUUUUCUUAUCAUUUUAAAUUUCUUUCAAAAUAAUGUGUGUGCCUUUCAUGAUCAUCGUCACUCACUUAUCAUCUUUUGAAUUUUAUGACAAUACAUUGCAAAUUUUUCUUUUCAAUGAGAUAGACAAAGAAAGGAUAAAUAAAGGGGUAUUUUAUUUCAAUAAAAAAGAGAAGUGUUUCAUGCAUUAUAUAAAAGCAUAUAACAAGGAAAACAAAUAAUCACAUAACGAACAUUCAAAUCAUCAUGAACUAAUUCAUCUUGGAUUCUUUUAUGAAAACUCUUAAUUGAUAUCCCUAGACAUUUUGAAAAUGUAAUAGACUAAGCUAGCCUAAAACCAAUGAGAUCUUUUGGCAUAUAUUGAGAAUUGCCUCAUUUCAUUCAAUGCUUCUUUAUCUAAGUUGCCAUUUUUUAUUUUUAACUUAAAUAUCUUUUCAGUUCAUUUUAUUUUUUCAUCUUUUUUUUCUUGUUUAAGCAUAGUACUUCUUUUCUUUAUCGACAUUGACUAGAUUUGGUAGAUCAUCCUUAUCCAUUCUUGCUAAGAUCAGUAUUUUAUCAGAUAAGGUUUUUUUCACCACAUAUAGACUUUCUCAAUCAGGUGUCCAAUUUCUCAAAGGAUCCUAUUGGUUAGGAAGAAUCUUUUUCAAUAUUAAUUUUCCUUUUUGAAAUUUUCAAAGGUGAACUUUUUUGUCAUGAGCUAGCAUCAUUCUUUUUUGAUACAGUUGACCAUGGCAAAGUAUAGCUAGUAUCUUUUCUUUAAUGAGAUUCAAUUGUUCAUACCGAGUAUGAACCCAUUUAGUUUUUUUCAAAUCAACUUCCAUGAGAAUGCAUAAAAAAGGAAUUUCAAUUUCAAUAAGGCAACACUUCUUCCAUCCCAUAAACUAAUAAAAAUGGUGUAACUCCUAUAGAUGUGUGAAUUGAAAUUUGAUAAGUAUGUAAAUGAUAGCUUUUCAUGCCAAUCUUUAUAUAAAUCUAUCAUCUUUUCAAUAAUUCUCUUUAUGUUCCUAUUAGUUGUUUCAUCUGUCCCAUUCAUCUUUGGACGAUAAGGUAAUGACUUGUGGUGUUGAAUUUUGAACUAGGCACAAACCUUUCUCAUUAUUUUGUUAUUCAAAUUAAGAGCAUUAUCCAAAAUGAUCCUUUUUGAAAGUUUAUAUCGACAUAUAAUCUCUUUUUUUGAUGAAAAUACAAACCACCAUUCUCGUCACAUUAGCAUAUGAAGCUGCUUCUACCCACUUUGUGAAGUAGUUAAUUACCAUUAAAAUGAAUCGAUGUCUAUUUGAAGCUUUUAGCAUAAUAAGCCCUAUCAUGUCCAUUCUUCACAUAGAGAAAAGCUAAGGUAUUGACAUAACAUGCAAGAAUGUUGGAGGAACUUGCAUCUUGUCGUAUAAAUUUGACAUUUAUGAUAUUUUUUAGCAUAAUCGAUGUAAUCUUUUUUCAUUAUCAACUAAUAGUAUCCUAUUAUCAUGAUUUGCUUAGUUAUCAUAUGGUCAUUUGCAUGAGUUCCACAAACACUUUUGUGAAUUUCUUUAAGCAACUUUUUGGCCUCAGCAGCAUUCACACAUCUCAAUAGUGUUUGAUUUUGACUUUUUUUAUAUAAAAUUUUUUCAUCUAAAAAGAAUCGAUUGCCAAUCUUUUCAAAGUUCUUUUAUCAUUAUCUUAUAUAUGCUCUAGAUAUUAUUGAUACUUGACAUAUUAUAAUAUGUCAGAAUACCAUGGUUUUCCAUUAACUUCUUCUUCAACAUUUGAAUAGUGAACUGGUUUCUCUUGUAAGCUCAACUUGAUGGGUUGGACUUUAGCAUUUUCAUUUAGCUUGAACAUUACUGCCAAUGUAGCCAAAGUAUCAACCAUCUGAUUUUUUUCUCGGGGUAAAUGAUAAAAUCAAAUAUUCUUAAAUUUUUUGAUCAAUUUUGAUUUGUACUUUUAAUAUAGAACCAACUUCGAAUAUUUGGUUUCUCAUUCUUCUCGCAAUUGGUAUAUGAUCAGGGUAAAGUCUCUAUAAAAUUUUAAUGUAUGGGCCUUCCUUUAAAAAAUAACUUAAAGACCUAUAACACAUACUUCAUAUUUUGUCAUAUUAUUGGUGUAAUCAAAGCUUAAUUUUACAGUGGUUAGGUAGUAAUCUCCUUUUGGAGAUAUCAAAACUACUUCUAUACCAUACCCCAAAGCAUUCAAUAUGCCAUCAAAAUACAUCUUCCAUGUAUCAUCAUUAGGCUCUUCUUCAUUUAUAUGUAAUAUAGACAUUAAGUUUUCAUUUAGCUUGAACAUUACUGCCAAUGUAGCCAAAGCAUCAACCAUCUGAUUUUUUUUUUUGGGGUAAAUGAUAAAAUCAAAUAUUCUUAAAUUUUUUGAUCAAUUUUGAUAUGUACUUUUGAUAUAGAACCAACUUCGAAUCUUUGGUUUCUCAUUCUUCUCGCAAUUGGUAUAUGAUCAAGGUAGAGUCUCCAUAAAAUUUUAAUGUAUGGGCUUUCUUUUCAAAAGUAACUUGAAGACCCAUAACACAUACUUCAUAUUUUGUCAUAUUAUUGGUGUAAUCAAAGCUUAAUUUUACAAUGAUUAGGCAGUAAUAUCUUUUUAGAGAUAUCAAAACUACUCCUAUACCAUACCCCAAAGCAUUUAAUGUGCCAUCAAAAUACAUCUUCCAUGUAUCAUCAUUAGGCUCUUCUUCAUUUCUAUGUAAUAUAAACAUUAAGUUUUCAUCUAAAAAACUGAAUGUCAUAGACACAUAAUCUUUGUGAAUGCGUUUUGUAAAAAAUUUAGCAAUAAAACUUCUUUUAAUUAUCUUUUGGGAUACAUAUACGAUAUCAUAUUUAGAAAGUAGCACUUGCCAUCUUGCUAUUCUUCUCGAUAAUGAAGAUUUUUCAAAGAUGUACUUGAUUGGAUUUGACUUUGCAAUGAGUCAAGUGGUAUGAUACAACAUGUACUAUUUAAGCUAAAGAGUUGUCUAAGCUAGUGCAAAACACAUCUUUUCUAAUGGUGAAUAUUUGAACUCGUAAUCAGUGAACUUUUUGGUCAAGUAGUACAUGGCUUGUUUUUUCCUUCUUGUUUCAUCAUGUUACCUCAAAAUGUAUGUCAUUGAUUUUUCAUGCAUAGUUAAAUACAAAAUGAAAGGUUUUCUAGGGAUGGGCAACAUUAAUGCUAAUGGGUUUAAUAAGUACUAUUUUACUUUUUCAAAUGUCAUAUGACAUUCUUCAUCCCAUUCUUCUAACCCUAUUUUCGAAGAAUCUUGAACAUGGGGUCACAUUUGGCUAUAAGUUGGAAAAUGAAACAAGUAAUAUAGUUCAACCUUAUUAGAAAUCCCCUCACUUUUUUGUGUGUAUGUAAAGGUGGUAGCUCUUAGAUGGCACGUAUCUUAUCUGGAUCUAUUUCAAUUCCUCUUUUACUAAUGAUAAAUCUAAGCAAGUUUUCAGAGGUUGUGCCAAAAGUGAAUUUAUUUGGAUUGAGCUUGAGUUGAAACUUUGUUAAUCUUUUAAAUAACUUUAUGAGAUUAACCAUAUGAUUUUUUUCUUCAUGGGAUUUAGCAAUCAUAUCAUCCAUAUACCCCUUUAUUUUUUUGUACAUCAUAUCAUGGAAUAGAGUUAUCAUGACUUUUUGGUAAGUUACCCUAGCAUUUUUAAAAUCGAAAGGCAUCACUUUACAGUAAAAUGUUCCUCAUAAUGUCAUAAAAAUAGUCUUUUCCAUUUUUUUAUGCUAUCUUGAUUUGAUUACAGCCUAAAAACCUAUCCAUGAAUGAUAAUAAAAAAUGCCUAGUGGUAUUGUCCAUUAAGGUGUUAAUGUAGGGCAAUGGGAAGUUGUCUUUUGGAUUUGCUCUAUUCAGAUCCUGAUAAUCAACACACAUCCUCACUUUGCCAUCUUUUUUAGGUACUGAAGCUAUAUUCAUUAUCCAUUCAGGAUACUUGACCACUUCUAAGAAUACCACAUCAAAUUGUUUUUUCACUUUUUUUUUUUAUUUUUAACAACAUGUCGGGCUUCAUCCUCCUCAACUUUUGUUUAAUUAGUUUGCACUUGGAUUUUUGAGGUAGCUUAUGUACUACAAUUUCAGUAUGUAGCCCUAGCAUAUCUUGGUAUGACCAAGCAAAUACAUCUACAUAUUCAUAUAGUAAAUUUAUUAGCUCUUGCUAUAUUAGUGACAACAUUGAAGUAUCAAUCUUAACCUCUUUUUUAAUUUUUUUCAUUCUUCAAAUUCACAACUUCACUGGCUUUUUAAUAAGGCAUAAUUUUCUUUUCUUCUUGUUCCAUUAAUCUCAAUAGUUCCAAGGAUAUUGUAUGGUCUUUUACUUUUUUUUCAUCAUUAAGUUCACCAAUAUAAAAAGAAUUUUCAAAAUCAAAUCUUAGAAUAUUGUCAUGAUGAUCUUCACAUUCAUUAUUUGAGUACUUGAAAGUAAGUGAAAUGGAUGAAAUGUAGAGAAAUGUAUAGUAAUGUGAGGAAUUGAAAUGAAAAAGGCAAAAGAAAUGGACAAAUGCACUAUGUUUGUCAUUUAUUCAAUUAAAAAUAAAGAAACAGACACACAUAUGACAUUUAAUGCUUUUAACAAAAACAUUUAGAUUAGGUUCAACUUAUUACUCUGAAAAAAAUUUAAAAACAAUAAGAAGCUCCUUAACAUGCCAAUUUUUUAAUUUUACAUCAGGAGGAGUAGGAUACACCUAUGGACUUUCUAGAUCUUCGUUCAUCUUUUCUUUACCUACCAUCUGUAUUAAAAAUUUAGUAAAAAUAUCUUUAAAUGAUGGUAUAAACCCCUUCUCUAUAUGUUUUGCUACAUUUGGAUAGAUAUAGCCAGUUGAGAUGAAAGUCUUAUAAAAGGAAAAAAAAAAUACGAGCUUUCAUUUUCUACCUCUUGCCCUAGAAAAUGAGCCAAUUUUUUUCUCUUUUCUCUUUUAUGAAUUGUAUUCUUUUUUUUUUUAGUUGGCUUGUACCCUAGACUAAACCAAUCACCUUUUUUAGGUAUCAUCCAUGGUCAUUUCAUCCCUUGCAAGUCAGCUCACACUUGUUAUCCUUUUUUGCCACUUCAUUAAAGGCCAUCUUGAAAGCUCUGGAUAGACAUGGAAUAGGUACCUUUGAUCUUUCACCCACAUAAGUUGUAUUAAAAAUUCAAAGGAUUUGAAAUAACAUUUUGGGACUUCUUCAACUAUUUCAACAUAUAAUGCAGUAGAUGGUUUAGUCACCAGCAAAUCUUUUUCACUAGCAAUAAUGACCAUCUUUUCAUUAAUUAUGAAUUUUACCUUUUGCUACAAAAUGGAAGGGAUAGCUCUUGCCAUGUGAAUCCAUGGUUUUCCUAAAAGACAAAUAUAAAAAAGAGUGAUAUCCAUAACUUGAAAGACUAUAUCAAAAGUACACAAGCCAAUUUGAAUUAGUAGUUCGAUAUAUCCUAUAGUUUCAUGAUGAAUCCCAUCAAAAGCCCUCACUAUCAUGUAACUUGUCUUCAACGUAAGAUAUGUCGAGUAGUAAUUUAGAUAAUGUAGUCAUAGGCAUGACAUUUAAAGAAGAUUCAUUAUUAAUAAGCACUUUGGCCAAUAUGUGAUCCUUGUAUCUUGUGGAGAUAUGUAAAGCCUUGACAUCACCCCUACCACUAUGUAGAAUCUCGUCAUCGCUAAAUAAUAUAAAAUUCUCUACUGUAAUAUUUCUCCAUAUAUAUAUUAUGAGCUACAUGAACUUCGUUGAGUACUUUGGGUAAGGCAUUUCUAUAAGGCUCAAAAUUUAACAAUAAUGACAACCUAAAAAUUUGAGCUAGUAAACAAUUCAAUUCCCCUACCACAUUAUACUCACUGUGCUUGAUAAAUUUUAAGAAUUCACAAGCUUAAUUUUUCGUAAUCGGAUUCUUAUGUUCUCGGUUUAGGACUGGGGCUGAUGAGUUUUUUUAUCAUUGGGUGGUCUAUUUUCUUUUUCUAAACUCAUUUCCCCUUUAUUUGUUUUUUCUUUUCAUGCUCUCUCGAGUGCUUCGGGGUAUAGCAUCACCUAUUUUGAGUUAUGCGUCCCACACCAGUUAUGUUUGUUGUGCUUCCAUCACAUAAGCUAGAUUAAAGGGAUCCAUUGUCCAAACCUUGUGAUAUGAUAUUAUAAUCAUAUUUUCAAGGGCUUGCCUUAUCAAUUUUGUAUGAGAAUGGGCUAGGGACCUCAAUUGUCACCUUUGGCAUAGUUGUAUAAACUGGUUUAUUAGUUUUAAUACUCGAUUUCUCAUCAUAAAAGAUGGUGAUAGUUCUAAAAUUCAUAUGAACUAGCAUAUCAACCUUAACACUCAAUUUCUCUUCAUAAAAUAUGGUAAUAGCCUCAAAACUCAUUCGAUAAGGUUUGCUUUUGGACGAAUCUCCAGUCACAACAUUUACUGAACUCUUUUCAUGUUUUUUAUAAAAUUCGACUAUGAAAUAAUCCAUCAUCCUCUGUAAUUUUUCUAAAUGCUUCACAAUCUUGAAGUGAAUGACUAACUAUCCCCAUAUGAAAUUCACAAGUUUGAUUAGGAUUAUCUAAAAAAUUCUCAUUUUUUGUAUUUCCAGGUAUUGGGCAAAUCAUAUUGGCUUUCACUAGAGUAGCAAAUAGGGGUUUUAAUCUUGCUUACUUCUCUUUUGAUGUUUCAAGUUGUCUCGUUACUUAAAGCAUUUAUUGAUCCCCCACCAUGAUUAGGUAAUAGAUUGGUCUCCAUACUUGGUCUGACCUUAGUUGUGAAAUUGAAAAUUUUGUUAUCAAUCAAGCUUUGCACCUUAUGUUUGAAAGCUAUACAAUUUUUCAAAAAGUGGCUUUGAAUCCCAUAAUGAAAAUCACAGUAAGUUUUAAGAUCAUACCACUUCAGAUAUGGAGGUUUUAAAGGCUUUAUUGGUUGUUGAGCCACCAAGUGCUUUUGGAAUAAAUGAGGGAACAGUUUCGUGUAAGUCAUAGGAAUUUGAUCAAAUCGUUAUUGCUCUCAAUUAUUUUAAGGUUCCCUUUAAUUAAAGUUUGUCACGUUUGAUUGAGAGGAAAGUUGUGGUGGAGGUGUUCAGGGAUAAACAUUGGUUUACAAGGCAGGAAUCUGGGUUUGCAUUGGUCGAAAAUGGUAUGGGUUUUGGAAAAUGUUGAAAAUGGUUGGGUAAGAAGGUUGGUAUAUAAGAUACGAAUGGUAUAGGGUAAAAGGUCUCGAUUUUUUUUUUCAGUGGUAAAGCUUGCACUUCUACUUCUUUCUUCUUGGGUGGUCCUCUUUUUUUUUUUUUUUAUCUUGAAACAUUACCUCCUUCGAUCUUUCCAUUUUUAAUAGCAUUUUCUAUUAUCUCACUGGAAAGCACCAUAUCAGCAAAGUUUUUCAUGGCAUGACGAAUGAAUCUAUCAUAAUACGAGGCUUGAAGGGUGUUGAUAAAUAGAAUAAUUGUUUCUUUCUUGGUAGGACGAGGUUGAACUUGAACGGCAACAUCUAAUCAUCUCUAGCAUAUUCUUUAAAGUUUUCGUUAGCCUUUUUUUUCAUGUUUUGUAAAGACAGUCUAUCUAGAGUCAUGUCUAUGAUAAGCUCGUAUUGAUUAAUAAAUUCUUUGGCUAGAUCUUUCCAUGAAUGAAUAUGGCUCCUAUCUAAUUGAAUAUUGUUAGCUUUAAAACUUGAAUUAAACCAAGAAGAGGUGAAUUAGUUGAUAAUAAAUUUUUUGUAAAUUUAAUAUCCAACAAGUACAAAGAUCACAAAUCAAUUUUUCUAAGCAUGUAAACACAACAAAGAUGAGUACUAAUAAUUUUAAAAACAAGAAAUAACGAUAAUAAAUCAAACACCAAAUUUUAUAGAGGUUCAGCCAUUUCUUUAGGCACCUACGUCCUCUAUUUUAGCCUUAUUUGCUAAGGAGUUUAAUCCACUAUGUGUUGAAAGUUACAACCUUGCUCUUCAAAGCUAUACACAAAUAACAACACAAUCUCUUAAGGGUUAUCCUCCCCUUUAAGCUUACAACCUCGCAAUAUAAUUUUUUGAAAUGUUUUGCAAACUCCAAGAACCUUUUUAAGAUUGGGUAUUUGUUAAUUUGAAGCGCAAAUUAAGAUUAAGAAGAAUAUCAAGAGAAAAUCUAAUACAAUAAAAAUUUUUGCACUUCUCUCACAUUAAGAUGCUCUUUAAUGCUUGGUGAAGAUGGUAGAUGGAAGCAAUAAGUUUUCUUAGCUCUUAGUUUCUUCAAAUAUGGUGAGAGACCUUCAUUUAUAUGUUGAGUAUGGAAGAUAGUAGUUGCUUGCAUUAAUUGUUUGGAGCCUCUGCAAAUUUUAGACAAAAAUAGCUGUAGCAAGCACUCUAAGCACGGGGGGAUCGAUCCCCUCUUAAGAGGAUUAAUUGGGUCAGUUAAAAUUUAAAUAAUUUUACGCAUGAAAAGGCAUAACUAAUCAAUCCAUAUUUAGUACCAAUUGAUCCCUUUUUUAGGUGAUCGAUUCCUUCCUAAAGUCUAGAGAAAAGUUUUCAUUCUGUGUAAGAAACAAUCAAUCCCUUCAUGAGAGGAUUGAUUCUAUCUUUAAAACCCUGGAACUGAUCGAUCCAUAAAAGGAGAAUCGAUUGGUUUUCAUGAAAUUUGCACGAGAAAGCUUUCUGGCCAAAAAAUUAAUCGAUCCCUUUAAAGGGAAAUCGAUCCCUUCUAUGUUACUUUGCCCAAUUCUAUUUUUAAACCAUACCAAAUGAAUAUGAACAAAUUUCUAACUCGAUUAAAAGCUGAAAAAGUAUUCAAAUUAAGUUCAAAUCAUUUUAAUUCAAGUUUAGCAAAUUUUUGUUUUGUUAUUUCAAAAUGUUUUAUCAAUUCAAGGUUAACAAUCUCCUCUUUUUUGAUAUGACAAAACCAAUAGUAAAAAAAUUUACUUUGAAAACAUUUUUCUAUUUCAAGAAAGUUCUCCCUGAAUUUAAGCAAGAUCAACAAAAUUAAAUGGCCAAUUUUGCAUUAUGAACAUAGCAAAAAUUUAUCAACUAGUAACAUAAUAGUUUAGCAACUACUUUUCACUAGCAAAAUUUCACAAUACACAAGCAAACUUCUUCCUCUUUUUGUCAUAACAAAAAAAAAAAAAUCUAAGAGUAAGGCAACAAAACUAUAACCAAUGUAAGAUCAACUUACUCAAUCAAUUCAAGGCAAUAAUAUUAUACUCAACCUAAGGCCACUAUCAUUGAAUGUCAAUACUUUAGCUCAUCAUAGCAUCAUAAUGUCAAGAAUGAGAAUAACCAUAAUAGCACUUUCAUAGCAACAUAAUCAUGUACAAUAAACUUUGAAUUUCAAAAGCACACAAGCAAACAAAGAAAAGUUCAUGCCAUUAAAGUUCAGCCAUUAUAUGCAAAGUACCAAAGUUGAUGCUACAAUAAACUAUCUUAAAGAAAAUUAAAAACAAAAAAAACAUCAAAAGAAAGACAUGUAGGAAAAACAUUUAGGCUUGGCUCUAUGGAUAGGUCAAGGUGGAAGAGGAUAAGAAGGAAAAUGAUGAAAAUGCUACUUUAUUUGUUCUUGUGUAGUCGGAUGAGUCCAAUAUCAGUCUUAACUUGUUGAACUUGUGAAACCAUCUCAUUUUGGGUUAGUUUCAUAUUUUUCAAUCUAGAGUUCAUAUCCCCAACCAAUGAGUGUAAACUAUUCAUCUGAGUCAUAAGAAUUUGUAAAACUUUUUAGGUAUCAAAUGGUGGAUUAGAAGGACAUUCUUGGGAAUAUCUUGUAGAACUUCUUGUAGAAUAUCUUAAAUCUCAUGCUUUUCUUUAUGUUUAACUCCAAGUUCAUUUUUCUUAAUCUAUACCCUAAUAAUAUAAUGAGUGUAUCUCAUACUAUGAAGUGUAUGAACUUCAAUAACACUAGUAAGAUCAGAUACAAUCUUUCUAUCACUUAUAGUAUUGAUACCCACCCUUCUAAAUAGAUUGCUAAUGGCUAUCCUAUAUACCAAAGUGUAGUCCAUGUUUUGAACAACCCUCAUCAUAUCAUUAAAAAUGAAGUGUAUAAGAUUGGAUUUUACCUUAUAUUUGAUCUUAUAUAUCCGUCAAUAAUCUUGUUUCCUAAUGGUGGACUAUUGGGUUCUAAAUGGUGCUAACACAUGUGUGACGAUAAGAUGAAGUAAUCUAUUAUGCAUGUUCAACCUAGAAGCUUGAGUUAGAGCAACCUUAAAAUCAUCAUUCUCAAAAAUAUUUUGGGCCAAUUCAAGCAUAUCACAUCUAGUAUUUGUGUCUUCAUUAUCUUUUAACAUGAAAAUUUCAGCUAAUAAGUUUUUGUCCAUAACUAUUUCUUUACCCAUCACAAAUGUCCUAAAUUUAUCAAUAUAAUACCUAUUCCCAUGUCCAUCAACUUCAAUACAGUUUGCAUUACUAUAAAAUACCCUUACUAGAUUCUCAAAGACAAUGCCAUCCAAACUAAAAUAAUUCAUCCAACCAAAAUUUUUAAAAGCAUGUAAGUAUGCAAAUCCAAUAGAUUGAAAAAAAUUAACAUUGAUUACCCUUCUUUGCUUGACUUCUCUAUGAGCAAAAUGAGUCUCAUAUCUUUUUUUUGCUGUAGGAUUUUCAAAAUUUUGGUUGAAAGAAGGUUUGAUUGAAGAACUAGAAGCUUUCCUUGGUGGAUUUCUCCUUGUGGCAAGAUGAGGUCUUAUUUUAGGUGCCAUGGAAAUAAUGGAAUAGUGAAAAUAUAAAGGCUUAUAUGAAAAUUGAUAAAGGAAGUUGUGAAUAUAGGUGACAAGAAGUAGAAUAUGUUUGAGAAAGACAAAAAAAUUGAGUGAACGAGGUAGUUUUAAUGGAGGCACAAAAGGGGAUCAAUUUUUUCAAGUAAGAAGCAUGAGUGGAAAUUUUUGUGUGACUUGAAGGAUUUUUAAAGAAGAUUUUGUAAGAAAUCAAAUAGAUAUGAAGCAAUUUGCAAAAGAUUUUAAUUGAAAGUGACCAAUUUGGAGAGAAAUUAAAGCAUGAAUACCUAGGUUUUAGGAGAAAAUGUUUUUAGAAAAAGAAAAAAAGACUAUUAGUCAACCAAAAAAAAGAGGAAAGCCCAAAUUUUAAAUGGUCAAAAUGAUACACAUAAAGGAUAUUGUUCAUGACCUAAUUGAUUGGAUAGCAAGGAGAUCAUUCGGGUAAAGUCUUGGUGAACUUGGGCAAGCCAUGGACCGAUUGAUUGGGUCCAAAGGGGAUCAAUCGGGUCCAAGGUUUUCAACAUUAUUUUGGAUACUGGAAAGAAAACUAAUUGAUCUGGUGUGUUUGGGAUUGAUCGGUUCACUUGUAGCAAAAAUAUUUUUUUUAAAAUUUUUUUUAAAAACAUGCAAUGUAACUAUUCGAAUAUGCAUCAUAUAAUUACAAAUAUAAUCAUAGACAAGAUUUCAAAAAUAUAUCAACAUAAACAUACAUUAGGUCUAACAAGGUGCAAAUAUAUCAAUUCAUCAAGAAUUUCAUUUUAAAGAGCAUUCAUCAUACCGAGUUCACCUCUAAUUGUAUAAAAUCUAUCUUUGUAAAAAGGUUUUGUAAAAAUAUAAGCUAAUUGAUGCAAAGUAUCAACAUAUUCAAGCACAAUAUCAUCCUUUUGAACAUGAUCUCUAAUGAAAUGAUGCCCAAUUUCAAUAUGCUUAGUUUUUAAAUGUUGAAUUGGAUUUUUAGUGAAACAGAUGGCACUAGUAUUAUCACAUUUAAUGAAAAUGUGAUCCAUGAUAAUUCCAAAAUCCUCUAAUUAUUGUUUAAUCCACAAAAUUUAGGCAUAACAACUAUCGACCACUACAUAUUCAAUUUCGAUUGUAGAUUAAGCAACACUAUUUUGUUUCUUGUAAAACCAUGAUAUAAGCAUAUUCUUAAACAAUUGACAAGUAUCAGAAGUGCUUUUUUUAUCAAAUAUACAACCAUCAAAAGCCGUAUUGGAAUAAGCCUGUAAAGCAAAAGAUGAAUAUUUUGGAUACCAUAAUCCUAAGUUAGGAGUAUCCUUAAGGUAUCUAAAAUUGUUUUAACAAGUAAAUGUGAUUCUCUAGGUGAUGAUUGAAAUCUAGUACAUAAGCACACAUUAAACAUUAUAUCUAGUCUACUUACAGUAAGAUUUAACAAUGAAUCAAUCAUAGACCUAUAUAAUUUGGAUUCAAUACAUUUACCUCAUUCAUCCUUGUCAAGGUUUGUUGAAGUGCUCGUAGGUGUUGAGUAAGGCUUUGAUUCUUCCAAUCCAAACCUUAUGAGCAAUUCUUUGAUGAGUUUGGCUUGAUUGAUGAAGGUACCAUCUUUUUUUUUGCUUUACUUGUAAUCCUAAAAAGAAUGUAAGCUCUUCCAUCAUGCUCAUUUCAAAUUCAUCUUGCAUAGUUUUAGCAAAUUCUUGACAAAGAACUUCAUUAGUAGUACCAAGUGUAAUAUCAUCAAAAUAAACUUGCACAAUGAAAAAGUCAUUUCCUUUUGUUUUAAUAAAAAGUGUAGUAUCAACCUUCCCUCUAUUAAAAUCAUUUUCAAUUAAAAAUUUUGAUAAUUUUUCAUACCAAGCUCUAAGAGCUUGUUUUAAACCAAAUAAAGCUUUUGUCAAUUUAUAAAUAUAAUUUGGAAAUUGAAGAUUUUCAAAAUUGAGAGGUUGUUCUACAUAUACCUCUUCAUUUAUAAAACCAUUUAGAAAUGCACUCUUGACAUCCAUUUGAAAAUGCUUGAAUCUUUGAAACAUGUAAAUGCAAACAACAUUCUAAUGGCUUCUAACCUUACAAUUGGGGCAUAGGUUUCAUUAUAAUCAAUUCCUUCUUUCUGACUAUAACCUUGAGCCACCAACCUAGCUUUGUUUCUAACAACAUUGCCAUACUCAUCUAUUUUAUUUCUAAAAACCCAUUUGGUACAUAUAGUAAGAUAAUCACUAGGCCUAGGUGCAAGAUUCCACACUUGGCUUCUUUCAAAUUUGUUCAAUUCCUCUUACAUAGCUAAUAUUCAAUAAUCAUCUCCUAAGGCUUCAUCUAUGUUCUUGGAUUCAAUAUAAGAAAGAAAAGUAACAUAAUUACACACAUUGUAAGUAGAUCUAUUUUUUUCCUCUUGAGUUGGAUCACCAAUAAUCUCACUAUCUUUCGCAUAUCUCCUUUCUCUAUGGUGAUUUGAUUUUUUCUUUAUUUGUUGCAGUUUCUCUAGAAACUUUUCAUCUUCUUUUUGAAUGUUCUCCUCAAUGUCAUGUGAUGCAUCAUUGAUAUUUUUUUGAAGUAUAGCUACAUCAUCAUCAUCAAGAGAUACCUUUCUUAAAGGUAGAUUAGAUUCAUUAAAGAUAACAUGUAUAGACUCUUUAAGAACUAAUGUUCUUUUAUUAAAGACUCUAUAAGCUUUUGAAUUCAAAAAAUAUCCUAGGAAAAUGCCUUUAUCACUUUUUACAUCAAAUUUUCUGAGAUUAUCUUUUCCAUUAUUCCAAAAAAAAAAAAUCUGCAACUAAAAGGAUAAAAAUAACUUAUGUUUGGUCUUUUUCCUUUAAAACGUUUAUAGGGAGUUUUAUUUAAGAUUGACCUAAUCAUAGCUCUAUUUGUAAAAUAACAAGAAGUAUUUAUGGCUUUUGCCUAAAAAUAUUUGGACAAAUUAUUUUUACAAAGCAUGGUUAUAGCCAUUUCUUUUAAAGUUUUAUUUCUCAUUUCUACUAGCCUAUUUUAUUGACGAGUUCUAAGAGCAAAAAAUUAUGGCUAAUACCAUUUUCACUACAAAACACAUUAAAGCCAAGGUUUUCAAAUUUUUUCCAUGAUUAGUUCUAAUACUAAAAAUUGAAUAACCCUUCUUAUUUUGUAUUUGUUUGCUAAAAGUGAUGAAUUUUUUCAAAGCUUCAUUCUUUGAAUGCAAGAAAAGAACCCAUGUAUAUCUAGUAAAAUCAUCAAUAAUUAAAAAACCUAUAUUGUUUUCCACCAAAGCUCAUUGUCCUAGUAAGACCAACAACCAAAUCAUUUUCAUAUUUUAAUUUUAGUAAACCAAUAACCAAAUCAUUUUGAGAAAGUUUUGAAAUUACAUCCAUACUUGCUUGUCCAAGUCUUCUAUGCCAAAUCAAACUUUCAUUUUCUUUUUAAGCCAUAAAACAAACAUUUUUAGAAGAUAGAUCGUCCAAAUGCACCACACAAACAUUUCCUUAAUGAUGUCCAAUAAAAACAAGUUUGUAAUCUUGAUAUCAAUUACUUGACAGCACAUGGGUUCAAAUACAACUCUAUGUCCUUUGUCAUAUGAUUGACUAAUACUAAGUAAGUUAUGCUUAAGUCCAUUUACAAGUAAAACAUUUUUAAUAGUAGUAGAAGAAUUAUUACCAAUAGAGCUAAUCCAUUCAACUUGGCCUUUAGAGUUAUCUUCAAAUGUAACAUCUCUUCCACUUUUAGCCUUUAAGUUCUUGAAUUGAGCAUUGUUUCUAGUCAUAUGUUUUGAGCAUCCACUAUUAAGGUACCAUGAAUUUGUUCUUGCUUGAAUUUACCUUGUAACAAUGCUCAUUCACCUGCAAGAACAUAAUUAAAAUUUUAUUUUGGGUACCCAAACUUUCUUGGGUCUUUAAGUCUUAGUACUUAUAAUUUUUGUACAUUUUGGAAUCCACUUCAUUCUAAUAAUCUCAUCUUCAUAUGUGCUAACUCCUUUUAGAAUCCACACACUCUUAAUGAGUUUACCUUUAUGAGUGACUUUCUUCAAGGAAUAAUAUCGUAUAAAAUGACCUAAUUUGUGACAAUAUUUACAUGUGCUAGAUGAAUCAUUUGGCUUAACAAGGAAAUUCUUCAAAUAAGUUUUUUUGCCACCACUAUUAUAACCUAAUUCAUCUUUAUCAAAGAAUGCUUUUUGUGUUUCAAGCAUGUCAUUAAGUUUUUAAUGUCUCAUAUAAAAUCUAGAAAAUAAGUUAUGCAAAUUCUCAUUUUUCUUAGUCAAAUCAUCAACAUUCAAUUUUAAAAGCUUAAUUUGCUUUUCUAAGUCAUUCUUUGCUUUAAUCAAAAGCUCAUUCUAUACUUUCAACUUAGAAAUUAUUUUUCUAUACUUCAUGUUCAUGCCUUUACAUUCUAUAGCUAAUUCAUUAAAAACUUCUUGCAAUUCAUCAAAUGUGUAUGAACUUAAAUCAUUUCAAUUAGAAAUUUUCUUGGGCUCAUCAAGAGCCAUGAGACAUAUGUUUGUUAUUUUCUUCUCAUUUGAUUCAUCAUCGGAGAAGUCACUAUCACUCUAUGUUACAACUAUUACUUUCUUAUUUGACUUUGUGGUGUUUUUUUUUUUCUUUCAUAAAAGACAAUUGAAUUUGAUAUGAUCUAGUUUGUUACAUUCAUAGCAAACAAUUUGAUCCCUUUCUCUUCUAUUUAAUUCUCCUUUGAUCAUUUUCUUUUGUGGUUUUCUCUUAUUUGAGAACUUGUUAAUCUUCAUAAACUUUUUGAAUCUUUUGAUAAACAUGGGCAUUUCUUCAUCUUCAUUAACCUUAUCUUGCUUAACUUUUUCUUCAUUUUCUUAAAAGGUUAAUUUGAGAGCAAUACCAUUUUUCUUGAUUGGUUCUUGUACUUUUUUUAGCUUCAUCUCAUAGGUAAGAAGAAAGCCCAUGAGUUCAUCCAAAGAGAGUAUGUGAGGAUCUUUAAACUCUUCAAUGGUUGCCAUCUUAGUUUCAUAACUUUUUGGUAGACUAUUUAAAAUUUUCUUCACCAUCUUCACAUUUGAGUAAGUCUUCCUAAGAGCCUUCAAACCAUUAAUGAUGUUGGUGAAGUGGUUUGACAUUUCACUAAUGGUUCCUUCUAAUUUCAUCUUGAAUAGCUUAUAAUCAUGAGUAAGCAUGCCAAUUUUGAUCUCUUUCACUUGUUAGUACCUUCAUAAGUGAUGGCUAAUUUCUUCCAAAUUUCCUUUGCAUUUUCACACAAAGAAACUCUAUUGUACUCAUUAGGCCCUAAUGCAGAAAAUAGUGUAUGCAUUGCUUUGGCAUUGAGUUAAGCCAUCUUCAUAUCAUUGACAUCCCAUUCACUUUCUUACUUGACCACCUCUCUACCAUCCACAAUCUUAAUUAAAAUUUGAAAACCAUUUAUAAUAACCCUUCAAACUUCAUAGUCAUUGGCUUGAAUAAACAAUUUUAUCCUAGUCUUCUAAUAUGGAUAGUUGUCACCAACAAAAAGUUGAAGUCUUAUAAUUGAAUAGCCUUCACCUCCAAAAGAUGUAGCAAUCAUUUCAUUUACCAUGAGAUACAUUUCUUGUUGCCCACUAUAUUUGUUGUAACUUGAGGAUGGUUGCUCCACAUUGAUCACCAUGCUUUAUUGAGUCAUUUUCAAGAUCAAUCUUAGGUUGUUAGACCUAAAAAAAAAAAGAAUUUUAGCUAUGAUAUCAAUUGUUAGCUCAAAGACUUGAAUUAAACUAAGAGGGAAGUGAAUUGGUUGAUAAUAAAUUUUUUGUAAAUUCAAUAUCCAAUAAGAAUAAAGAUCACAAAUCAAUAUUUCUAAGCAAGUAAAUACAAUAAAUAUUCAUACUAAUAAUCUUAAAAACUAGAGAUAGAUAUAGAAAAUCAAACAUUAAAAUUUAUAGAGGUUCAACCUUUCCUUUAGAAACCUACGUCCUCUCUUUUAGCCUCACUUGCCAAGGAGUUCAAUACACUAUGUGUUGAAAGUUACAAUCUAGCUUUUCAAAGCUCUACAUGAACAAUAAUAUGAUCUCUUAAGGGUUAUCCUCCCCCUUUAGCUUACAACCUCACAAUACAAGUUUUUUAAGUGUUUUACAAACUCAAAUAUCUCUCUAAGAUUUGGUGUUUGCUAAUUUGAAGUACAAAUCAAUAUUAAGAAGAAUAUCAAGAGAAAAUAUGAUAUAACAAGAAUUUAUACACUUUUUUCCCACUAAGAUGCUCUUUAAUGCUUGGUGAAGAUGGUAGAUAAAAGUAAUAAGUUUUCUUGGCUCUUGGUUACUUUAAAUAUGGUGGAAGACUUUCAUUUAUAUGUUAAGAAUGAAAGAUGCUAUUGCUUCCAUUACUUGUUUGAAGCCUCUACAAUUUUUAGACAAAAAUAGUUGUUGCAAACAUUCUGGGCACAAGGGGAUCGAUCCCUUUUAUGGGGGGAUCGAUCGGGUCAGUUAAAAUUCAAGCAAUUUUACGUAUGAAAAGGCACAAGCAAUCGAUCCAUAUUUAAUACCAAUCGAUCUUUUUUUUAGGUGAUCAAUCAUUCAAUUUGGGUGAUCGAUCCCUUCCUAAAAUCUAGAGUAAAGUUUUCAUUCUAUGUAAAAAACCAAUUAAUCAUUUCAUGAGGGGAUUGAUCUUAUCUUUAAAACCCUUGAACCAAUCAAUUCAUAAAAUGAGGGGAUCAAUUGGUUUUCAUGAAAUUUGCACAAGAAAGCUUUCUGGCCAAAAAAAUUAAUCGAUCCCCUUGAGGGGGGAUCGAUCCCUUUAUGCUACUUUGCCUAAUUCUAUUUUUAAAACCAUGCCAGAUGAAUUUGAAUAAAUUUUUAAUUGGAUUAAAAGCUGAAAAAGUAUUUAAAUUAAGUUCAAAUCAUUUUAAUUUAAGUUUAACAAAUUUUUGUUUGUCAUUUUAAAAUGUUUUAUUAAUUCAAGGCUAACAAUACUUUUAGGACUUCAAGCACUACCAACUCUCCCAAAAGUAAUUACCGUUAAGAAGGUGCAUACCCUAGACUUAUAGUGCAUUUCGUACACACAAGCACCCAUGGUAUUCAAGAAUAUGGAGUUGAUGGAUAUGACCAACCUUCAAUCUGUCAAUAAAUAUACCAUCUGAUAGCUAAUUCGAUAAGACUAUCUUAAAAAUAAUGGAUAAGCAACUUAUCCUUGUCUGUAUGCUCGAUCAUUUGUUGGCUAGACAUGGUGAUAUAUGCCAAGUGGUAUUUGGUUUCAUCAUAUUUUUUAAAUUUUGGUACUUUAAACUUUGGUGGGAUUACCAAAUUUGAAACAAAACUAAGUCACUUGCAUCAAUUAUGCCAAAAAUAUUCACACCUUCAAUAGCUCACAACCUUUCUUUUAAGAGAUCUAACUUCUGUUGUACUUUUAUAUUCUCAAAUUGUUUGGACAUGCCCUUUUUUAUUCUCUUUCAUUAUUUUAGGUCAUCUAAAUCUGAGACCAUAAUGGGCUCAACAUGACUUACCCCAAUGUUUAGACUAAUGUGUCCUUAACUCUCUGGUUGAACUGUGAAGGGAAGUAAUUAAACUAAGCAUAUGGCCACCUUUUAGGCUAUGUCAUUUGUGGAUGCACUUAAUGAGAAGUUUGAGCAUAGGGUGGGGUAAACCCUGGUGGAUAUAAUGGAUAUUCCUUAUCACUGGUAUUUUCUUAGGCUUGAGGCUCUUUUUAAGUGAUCACUUCUUCAGCUACCCUUUUUCUCUUUGUGAUUUUCCUUAUCAUGUCCAUCAUUACAACCAUUUCUUUUCAAGUCUCUUCUUGACACUUAGUCAUUUGUUCUAUUAACUCUUGUUGAGAAUUAAUCAUCUACACUUGCAUAUAAAACUAAGCUUUCUUCAUCAUUUUCAUUCUAGAUGUUUGCUCAUUUUUUAUGAUUCUAACUUGUGAAUGAUAUUGUAAUGAUGACAAGUGGUCUGAUAUAUGUUUUCUAAUGGCCUAACUAUCCUUACACCUGAUCGAGUUAAGGAAAACUCUUCGAGAUUUGUUAUUUUGAGGCCUCUUUUUUUUAGUCAUGAUGUAUUUUUAUUUUAAGAUUUAGCAUUGAAUGAAACACACGUAUAAAGCAUGAAUGUAAAUGAUGUGCUUGUUAUAUAUCCAAUAUUUGUAAGAGAUUUUAAAUCUAAACUUAAACUACCAUAUCAUAGUGUCACAUUAUUCUUAUUAACUACUUCCUUCAUUAUAAUAUUAAAAUUUUUAAAAGAAGUGCCUUACAUGCUUGUACUGCUCAUAAGCAUCAUCUAGAAAAAUUGUCAAGCAUUGGCUAUGCUAUCCUAGGUAAACUUCUUCCUUUACUUGUUUAGCUUCUUGGGCUAUAUCUCUUGCUUUAGAGCUGGCUUUUUUUAUCUAUUCUACUAGGUGAGUUUCUUAAGAUUCCAUCAGCAAACAUUAUUUCUUCUAAUACUAUGCUCUAUGUUCAAAUUGAUCUUGUCCUUUCAAAACUUGAAUAGCUUCACGUCGAUAACGCAUUUGCUGUUUCAAGUCAUCUAUGAGACCUUGUAGUAUCUUUUUUUCUUUCAUAAACUAACUAAGCUCUUUUUCUUUAGACAACAAAUUAGAUAGGAGUUGUUAUGCAUUUUUUUCUAAAUUUUUCAAGUUUUGUGGUCAUUGAAGUGAUGGAUUUAUGACAAUUUUCAGAAAUCUCUUGUUCUCUUUCAAGUUUUCGAGAUUUUGCUUCACUUUUAUCAAUUUUAUCUUUCCACUUAUUAAUCUCAUGCUGAAGCUUCUUCUUUUCAAGUUUUCAUAUUUUUUUCUUUAAAUUUACGCUUCAUAAUCAUUAUGUUUUCAGGGAUCUUUUCACAAUGGAUAAUUUUUUAGUGGCAUGGUCUCUUUUAUUUAGGACUAACUUUGCUUAUGACGCAUUGACUCCUCAAUAUUAGAUAUUUAGGUGUGGCUUUUUCCAUAUACCCCUCACGAUCCACUCUCUGGGUCUAUUUCCAUUAUUUGAUAAUCUCUUUCAUCUUUUCAAGGAAUCCUGGCUCUUUGAAAGAGAAUUCUAAUUUUUAAAACCUAUAAGUCAUAAGAACAAAUUGCUUUGUCCCUAAUUGUUGAUGAAACAUUGUCGAAACAUAGCUUAUACCUCCCUAUAACCCUAAGAAUGAGACCCACGAUUUGUUGCCACACUUGUACAACAUGACUUUUGGUGGCAUCCAUGGAGCUUUCCAUAUAACUUAAGUACUGGUUAGAUUUUGUAAAAUCAAUACCCACUCUUCUUUAGACUUUGAUUCUAGCCACUUAACAUUGUAGCAUUCUUCGAUUAGCCUACUUUUAUUACUAUAAGUAUGAUGAAAUUUACCUAUCAAAUACUGAAGAUGACUUUUUACCUAAAUGUCGAGUAAUUGUGAACACCCUAUGAAGCAUCCGUCUUUUAUUCGACAGUGAUUCAAUGAUCUAAAAGUUUUUACUAGUAUAGAAAAACCAAGAUUGAUUUUAUUGUCCAUCUACUAGAAGAAGUCGAUUACUAAUAACUUAAGGUGCCCCGGGACCUUUGAAAAAAUGAUGAAGCCAUAAAUUGCCAAAACUAUUAUUCUCAUGCCUUAUUCAUCCUCUAAGUGUUUGAUGAUGUAGUUACGCAAGAUUUCCCAUGGGAUGCAAUGAUUUUUUAUCUUUUGUUUGGAUAUAUGAGUUCAUAUUCUGAGUGAUGACCUUCAUCAUAUAAACAAGUUUCUUUAGAGAUCCAAGUUUUUGACUUCACCAAUAUAUUCUAUUUGUAUUAAGAAGAUGUAACCAUAGUAAUGUAGUAUACUUUUCAAUCAUCAGGGUUAUAUCUAUCUCGUUAAACAUGAAACAUCUGUAUGUAAGGUCCCAAAACUAAACUAGAGCUCUUAUUAACUAAUUUUUCAUAGACACUUCAAGGAGUGAAGCAAUAUAACCAUAUUUUUCUUCGAAAACCAUCUUUUUAGGAGUUGUUACAUGGUGCCAGAUCUUGACUAACUCUAAGAUAUCAUUUUGUUGAAGCCCCAGUAUAAUUUUUUCAAGCAUAAUUUUUUUGUUCAGAUUUUUUUCAAACAGUUUCCCAUUCUUCUUUGGGCUUCUAAAGAUAGAGUUAUCACGACAUUAGUCUCUUCACAUGUGAUGGGCUUCAUAGCUAAAAACAUCAGGUUGGUGUUUCUUAAGCAAGAUCGAAAAUCUUCUAACUGAUAUUAGCACAUUGACAAGUACAUUUCAUAUGCAAGUGUUUAUGAUGAUGCAUGAACAUGAAACAAAAAAAAAAACAGAAUAGAUUAAGGUUAGUAAUCGUAUUAAAAUAAAUAUUCCCUCGUGUGUCCUAUUUAGGGUAUAAUCUAUAAAACUGGUAUGGCUUUAUCUAAGGUUGGUUUAUUAAGGUUCACUAUAUACAACCUUUGGUAAUUAACAUAGGCUAAUAAGGUUUUCAAAUUGAUCCUCACUAUUGUCCACUCUGUACUAGUAAGGCCCUUGAUCUUCACCCAUAAUGGGCUACCAACACAAAAAGUUUAACUUGAGUGAAAGUAUUUCGUUAGCCCAAGCGGAGGCAUUAUACCUUCAUAAAAGUGUAGGUAUUCUACUCUCUCCUAAAAAGGGAUAGAUUUGGGAGUCCGGGUAUGAAGCUUAUGCAUGAAUGUAAAUAUGCAUGUGUGUGAGGGAAUGUAACAAUUAUUAAUCAAAAUAAAAUCAAUAAUAUAAAAAAAUAAAUGACAUUACAAAACUGAAUGAAUCCAUCAAAAUUUUACCUUUUUUUUUCCUUAUUUUUAUUCUAAGAUGAGAUAAGAAAUUAAAAUUAAAUAUUGAAAAGAUCGUAAAAUCAAAGUUUAGAUGACACAUGUUUAAUUUUUGGUUUGACUCUCUAGCGUCCCCAGUGGAAUCGCCAAGCUGUCAUAAUGAUUUCUUAUUUAGGGGACUUGAUCACUAGACUUGGUGAAAAUUUUUGAAGUCGCCACCAAUCUUAUUUUUUAAGGGUGUGAUUGGCCACCCAAAAAUAUUAUCUUUUAAUAAACAUCUUAAAAUUAAUUAAGAUUUACUUAAAAACAUUUUGUUUUGUGAAAUCAGGGUAAGAUCUAGGAAUACGGUUACUAAUGAGGAAGGUAUUAGCACCCUCACGUCACUCAUUUGAAGAAUAGUACCAAUUAAACAUGUGUUAUCUUUUAACCUUGACAAUGUGGUCUUUUUUUAUAUUUAAAUUUAAUUUCCUAAAAUUUAUUUAUGAAAAAUAUUUUUUGUUAUGAAAUCAGUAUUAUUAUUAUUUCAUAUUCUAUUUCAUCAUAAAAUAUUUUAUUUAUUUAUUAAAAAUGAUUUUAGGAACAUCCCAACUCUUUGACGAAAUCCAAAAUUUGUUACACAAAUUUUAGAUUAUCCGAAUUCUUUGGUGAAAUCUUAAAAAUUUUAAACAAAUUUUAGGAUCAUUUUAACUUUCUGACAAGAUCCUAAAUAAAAUUAUUUUUUAUUGAUAAUAAUUAAAUUAAGAGAUUUAAUUAAUUUUUAUUGUGAUUAUUUUAAUUUUUUUAUUAUUUACUAUUUAUUAUUUAAAUAAAUAUUUAUUUAGUAAAAAAAAUAAUUUUUAGAUUAUCCCGACUCAUUAAUGAAAUCUAUUAAUAUUUACUUGCAUUAAUUAAGGAAAAUUGAACUCUUUUAAUUCUCUUUGAAAAUUACAUUUUUAGAAUAUUUAUUCAAAAUAUCAAUUAUUAUUAUUUUAUUAUUUUAUAUUGUUUAAAUAAACCUUUAUUAUAGUAAAAAUAAUUUUAGAUUAUUUCAACUCUACGGUGAAAUUCAAAAAGUUACUUUUACUUGCAAUAAUUAAAUAAAACCAAAUUUUUUCAGUUUUCUUUAAAAAUUACAUUUAAGAGAUUCAUUUAAACAAUUCAUUACAUUUUUAUUAUUUUUUAGCAAAAAUUAUUUUUUAAAUUAUCCCAACAUUUUGGUGAAAUUUAAAUAAUAUUUUGCUUGUAAAAAAUUUUUGAUUUUUCUUAAAUAGUUAUUUUUUUAAGGAUUUUUAAGAUUUAUGCAUAUUAUUUUUUAUUAGGUCCAUAUUUUAUUUUAAUUUUAAUUUUUUAUUUAUUUCUAAAAGAAUGAAUAUUAAUAAUAACAUAAAAUAACAAUAAUAAUAAUAAUAAUAAUAACAAUAAUACCAUAAAAAACAUAAAAAAUACGAUAAAAAUCAACACAUGAUAAAUAAAAUAAAAAUCAAAACAAAAAAUAAAAAGAAAAAAGAAAGGGAAAACCAUCCAAUUAGGUUUUGUCACUUGGCAAGUCGCACGCUAGUUAACGGGCCAAAGGUUACUAAAACGACGUCAUUUUGUGACACCUAUAAGAGGUUUAUAUUUGUUUUUUUUUUAUUUUUUCCCUUUUCUCUCUAAAAACCCAGAGCCUCUCUCUCUAGAAAAUACCUUCUCUGUUGAUCACCAUGCAAUCCCAGUUUUUGAUCGGUCGCUGUCAUGCUGUUGACGAAAACUUCAAUUGACAUCGAAAAAUUCAAACACAACAUAGAUUCAUGUGGGUUUUCCAAAUUUCAGUGGUUGAAAACUUCAACCAAUCACCGUAAAAUUUAAAUUUUUUCAGAUUUUGGCAAACAAGAAAAUUUCAAAAAAAUCCUAAAAAAUUUUAGAUCACUCCUUUUUAUUUUGUAAACACUCUUUCAAAAUUGAUUUAACAAAAAAAAAAAAAUCAAACCUCCUAGAUCGAGAAUUUCAUUCUCAGGGUUUUGUUGUGUUUCUAAAUUUUUCUUUUGUGUUUACUACUUGUUUGUUUUAUUUUUUUGUGCUUAUGCGUGCCUUUCUAUAUAGGUUUUUUUUAUGUUUUGCUUGUAGAGAUUGGCUCUAUUUAAAGAGCCGUUUAAAGAUCAAAUCCUAUAUUGUUUGGGACUUUUAUGGAAUUUUUUAUGAAAAAAAUAAGGAAUUGUCCAGUGACUUUUGGUCAUCGAAUUUCAUGCUGCCAAGUUAGACAGUGCAGAUAAAUUUUUAGUGCAUUAAAUGCACUGUGAUUUUGUGUAGAAGAUGAAAAAAAUAUGUCAAAAAAAAGAAAAAAAUUAAAAAAGGUAUCAAAAGAAAUGAAAAGAUAAUAAUAAUAAUAAUAAUAAUAAUAAUAAUAAUAAUAAUAAAUUAUUGAAAUGAGAAGAAACUAAAAAAAAUGGUGCUACACUUUGCAAUUAAUUUUUUGUGUUUAUUUAAUUGAUUUGAAAUUUAUUGCCUAUUGGUAAAUUGUGGUAUGACUUGUAUUAUUCUGCUAGAAUAGUAAGGGGAUCAUAACCCUGGCCAUAUAUUAGAGUUCAAGUUUCAUAUACUUUUUAUAACCUUAGCUGAAAAGAAAGAUAAACAUGAAAUAUAUUUACUAUAGAAAAAUUUUAAUAUAUAAAAUGAUUAUUAGAUAAUAAAAAAAGAUUAUUUAUUUUAUAUAAAAAAAUUUUAAACAUGCAGCAUUGUGCGGGCUUGCAUUUAGUUGUUUUUUAAUUAUUUAUUAUGCAUGUGUAAUAAAACAAUAUUUUGGAAGCUAGAAAAAUUUUUAGAAUGAAAUAACAAAAGAGCAAUGAAUUUUCCUAUCAACUGCUACAUUACAGAAGCUAAUUACUCUAACAACUGCCUUUAAGCAAUUGACUACACUAACAACUACUCAUGAAUAAAUUUUUUCAUAGACUCUCGUGUGACAGUUUGUUCGAAAAAUAGGUAAGACAAAUUGACUACACCUUAGGAACAAUUGACUCUCUUUCCCUUAAUUGCCUUGAGGACCGAUUAACUAGUUGAAUAAAACUUUGCAUUCUGUUAAGAAAAAUGUCAAAGAUAGUUAACUUCCCUUAUUAAGCAAUCAACUACUCAUCUGAGAAAGUUAAAAAAUAAGUCCGUUGGACAUGUGCUUUCAUUCCAAAUAAGGUGUUACUUCAUUCAAAUGAUGUUUAGUUGUGAAAGGACAUUUGAAGAUAUUUUUAGGUUUAUAUAUACUUUCUAAACACUCAUUUUUCAUAGAUUUUUAGCAUGUCAUUCUUUAAAAAUAAAAAUUAGAUUUUCUUUUCCUUUCACUCUAUUUUGUGGUUCAUGAUUCAAAUGUGUUCUAAGAAAAGAUGAAGUACAAUAAUCUCCAUUGUUAGACAUUGUAUCUUGGAGACAAUGUCUUUAGUAACUAUUUGCACCUUGUGGAGAAACUAUUAUCUUUAAGAAAGCUUUCCAGAAGUGCCUUGCCCAAGUUUUUUUCUUUUUUUCAACAAAAUUAGCAUUGGUUGUCACCCUUACAUACAAUAAUUUAAGUAUAAUAACGAGAUUGCAAUUAGUUUGCCAACCCAAAUACAACAAUUUAAGGAUAAUAUUUUUCUCCAUAACAACUUCUACAUUCAAGCGUCACAUUCAUGAAGUGGAGAAAUUUCUGUGGAAGGCAUAAAAAUUGAUUUUGGUAUUGAAUCAAAACCAUAUAGUUAUCAUUGGAAGAAUAAUCAUAGUGAAUGGUGGAUAAUUAUAGUUUGGUCAUAGUUUGAUUCUUGAAACAUGUUUGUUUUCAAGAUAUUGCUUCUGCAAAUUUUUGAAUUUCAAUAAGAGUAAGUAUCUUUCAAUAAUAAAGAAACAAACGAUAAAUGUUCUAAAAAGUAUAAUCUUUUUCGAUAUAUUAAGGUAUGUAAUUUACUUAUUGCAUUACUUUAUGCAAAUUGCAUGUUAAUGGUUUAAUAUUUGUUUUAAAACAUAAAUUAAAAAUCUCAUGAGAAUAUAUAUAUAUAUAUAUUUUUUUUUAAAUUAUCAUUGGUUCAGAUUUCAUUUUUUAUGACUUGAUUCUUAAUCAAAGAGUCAUGUUCUGGUAAAAUUGUAAUACCUCAACCCAAAUGAUAAUUGGGCUAGACUAUUACUAAAGCCUAUUAAGUUAAUUAAGAGAUUAAUUAGUAAAAAAAAAAAAAGGCUAAAGUAUUAUAUGAAAGAAAACAUAGCUAUCGUGAAACAGAAAGAAAAUAGGAGUAUUUCUUCCUCAUCUUCCUUGGGGUUAGAGAACAUGAAAAAUCAAGUUAAAGAUUUAAAAUCAGAGGCUACAAUCAAGUUAAUCUCCUACUGGUGAGUAUAUGCCCUCUUUUUAUUUAAGAAAAAAUAUCAUGUCGAUUGUUAUUAUAUAGAGUUAAUGUUUUGAGAGAAAAAUAAAAAAAAAUUAUGAAAUAUUUCAUUAAUCUUCAUGAUCUAUUUGGGUAAAUUAUCGGGCUUUGUUUAUUUCAUGUUCUUAAGAUUUAUUGAUGAUUAUUGAAUCGAGUUUAAAGGCUGAAUGUGGGGAUUUGAGUUUUUAAAGAUUGAAGGAGAAAUUAUGUUUUUUGAUGAGAUACUAUGAUAUGCAAUAGUGAAUUAAAAUAGAAUUCUAUAUUAACGGAUAGAUUAUUGCUAUGGUUAUUAUAUAUCAUUGGAAAGCAUGUUGAAUCUACUUUCUAAUGAAAUAAACAAAAGUCAAAUCCAAGUUUUCUAUGAAGAGUUGUCUAAUUUUUACUUAAGGAUAUAUAGGUUGUAAAAUAGCAGCAUCAGGGUUGAAUUACGAAAAUUAUUUUAAUUUUUAUACAAGGAAUUACAGAUUAAGCCAUAUACUUUUGGAAAGCCUAUUGAGUUACUUUUCAACAAAACAAGCGGAAUUGAAUUUGGAGUUUCCUAUGAAUAAAUGUGUAAUUUUUAUUAGAAGGUAUAUAUGCUGUCUGGCAGCAGCAUAUGACGUGGUUGCAAAAAUUAUUAUAAUUAAUCUACAAGGAAUUACGAGGUGGGCCAUAUAUGGUUAGAAAGCUUAUCAAGUUUAGGUUCUAACGCAUUAAAGAGAUCUUAAUUCUGAUUUGGAUAUAUUGAGAUAUGAUCAUUUUAAUGAAAAGAGGUCAGGCUACCAGUAUUAGUUAGUUGAGUUAACUUUUGUUUAACUUAAUUAUUUUUGGUAUCAUUAGUCUUGAAAUGGGUUGAUUAAUUUCUAUUAUGUUGAAAUUAUCUUGAAUAGGCCAUUAAUUAUUUUGGGGGAAAAACUAGGUGAUGAAAUCGAAACUAGGUAAGUGGAAUCUCAUACACUUUGCUUGUUUUUGAAUCUAUGUAUAUAUGUAUGCUUCUAAAUGAAUGAAUAUUUUAUUUCUUUAUUUUCGAUGUAUGAAAAUAAGAUCAAGCAUAUGAUUAUUUUGCAUUUCUCUAUAUAAACAAUGGAUCAUGCUUAUUGAUGAAAUGAGAGAAUAAUUUAUAUUUAAAGAACGAUUUUAUAAUAGCUAUGUUUUUACAUCACCAGGAAGUGGGAUCAUCGACAACAGAAUUAGUUCUACGGCCCUGGCUAACAGAUUAUAGUAGUUAGUAUAGACAUGAUCAUACGGCCCUACUAACAGGUUAUAGUGGUUAGCGUAAGGCCCUGGUUAGCGGGUUAUAAUAGUUAGCAAUGAUCAUGAAGAUAAAAUUAUUGAUACGGCUAAUAUCACGUGUUAUAGCAGUGACCAUAGCUAACGAUAAACAAAUGAUAAUAAUGAUUUAUGAUGAUGAUGAUUUAUGAUGAUUUUAAAGAUUGAUCCAUGAUUUGUAUGAAAUAUGUAUUUAACUGUAAUUUAUAAUUCAUAAUUAAUGAAUUGACAUGUUUUGAUAUUGAUUUAUGAUCUACGAAAUGUUUGACAUAAUGAUGAUUUUUAAAAUAUUUUGACAUUAUAAAUUGAUGAAUAUUUUGAAUGAUCUAUAUGAUAUGUAUAAAAAUAAUGCUAGAUCUGAUAAGGUAUGUGAGCCUAUACUUGCUGAGCUAUAGUUUGCUCAUUCUCCUUUUACUUUUUCUUUACAGAUCAGUAAAUGAUAAGUUUGCUUAGUUUUGUAAAAAGCUAGAAGAUCAAAUGGGGAAGAUUACUUAGUCGUCAAAAAUAAUGUUGGCCAAUGAGAUCUUAUGAAACGAUUUUGUAUUUUUAUAUGAUUUGUAUUUGGAUAUACAGAGAUAUAUCAUUAGUUAGAUUAAAUAUAUGAAUUUUACUUGACAGACUAUAUCAAUUUAUUGAUAAAUUUUGGAAUGAUUAAGAAAGAAAGCUUCGUAUUAUAUUAAGGUUUACUUCAAAGUAAUAUAGUUGUAUUGCGUCUUGAUCUUGGGACGUGCCAAAAAGGAUAAAAGGAAUGUUGAAAACAACCGAUGAAAGAUUAUGUGAGAAAUCACAACAAAUUGUUUGGUGUGUAAAUGGAUGUCGAAUUUUCAAUAAAGACGAGAUAAAGUUUAUCCACGUUUCUUUAAAUAAAAUUUACUAAAUAUAUGUUUGCUAAUAUAUUUCAUGGUAUUAAAAAUUUAUUGAAUGAUUUAAAUCUAAUUAUGAUGUUGUUAAAAUUGUCAUAAAUUACUAAGUAAUUUUGUUAUAUGCGUAUUGUUUAAGAUUAUUGUAUUUUCUUGCAUUGAUAAUUGAUGGUGUAGUGCAUAUGACAAAUUGCUAAGUGAUUUUGUCUUGUCAUUAAUUAUGAUUUUGAUAUAUAAAUGUUCUAAAAAUUAUUUAAAAAUAUUUCGAAGCUGUUUGGUGCAAAUAUGCAUAUUUCUAAUGAUUUAUAAACUAAUUAGAAAGGACAAGAUAAAUUAUAUUGAUAAAUAUAUUGUGAUCAAGGAUUUAAGUUACAAUCACAACAAUGUUUUCAGUUGCGUCAAAUUUAUUGCUGUUACGGACAUAGCAAAUAAAAUGACAGUAAUUAAGUUCAUUGCAGUCGUGAAUUUUUUUUGAAUUUUGCACAACUUAUUAUAAAAUGAAGUAAAUAAAAAUUGUAAGCAUAAUAACAUUUAUUUAUAAUAUUUAAAUUAAUUCAUGAUAUUUUAUUCUUUUUUUAUAUGUUAAAACAAAUAAUUUACAUUUUUUAGUUAUGACUUAUAAAUCAAUGUGUAUAUAAUAUGUGUAUAUAAAAUGUGGUUCAUUAAUACAUCUAUAAAUUUUAUGGACAUAAAUGCUGUAAAUGCAUACGAUUGACGAAAUAUCAUUAUGAAGUUAAUGUUAUAAAUCAAUCUAAUUAGAAAAUUAAUAAUGAACAUUUAAAAUAUGUUUAUAAGAUAAUUAUUAUGGCAAAGGAAUUAAAAUCUAAUUCUUUGAGCAUAGAUAUAUUCUCUUUACCUUUAAAUUAAAUACACAAAUGCAACAAUUUGAAUAAUUAAUUGAUAAAAAAAUGUAAUACGUAAUUAGUAACCUAACCAUAAUCAAACUCACAAAGAAACUAUAUUAACAAUAACAUUAUAAUAUCAAAAUUAUAUAAAAACUUAAUUCUUUGUAAAUGAUUGUACAUGUAUUAAACCACAAAAUAAAUUAAAUUUACUAAGAAAAACCAACAUCCUUCUAUAAUUUUGAUCUAAAUCAUAAAAAUUCUCAUAUUCCCAUUUUCACCAAUAAUUUAUUUCUCCGUAUCAAAAUUUCACCUACAUAAGUAAAACAAAAAUUAAUUUUGAAAGUUAGUGUUGGCCUUCCAAAUACCUCAUCCUAACCAUAUUCUCUUUUGUAAAUUAAUUUGGAUGCAUGUGACAUAAGUAUUCUAAAUUCCCCACCCCACUCUAUCCUAGUCCAUUCUUUAUUUCUCCUCUCUCCUUCUCCUGUAUUUUCACCAUCUUCCCCAACCCAUAACAAAGCAUUGGGUCCCCAAGAUCCAACACAUCUAAUCAUCAUAAUGCCUUGCCUAGAAUCCAAACCCUCAUAGCCUUUCCUCAAAGGAUUUUCAACACUAAUUGUUUAUCCAUCCUUAUAUAAGAAAAUGAAAGCAACACACACUUGAAGCAGAUGGGCAUGAAAGGUAACUCUUUCUCCAAACCAUCAACAACUUAGAUUUAAAAAGUGUGAAGAAAAAUGGGUAUUUGUUUCUUACAUGAAUUAAUUUUGUAUUUUGAGGUUUAAAUUUGUUGCAUUUUGGUUGAAUUGUUUGUAGCUGGGCUAAGGAUUUUCUCUAUUUUGAUAUAAUUUGUUGUUUGAUUUGAUUUUAAUAAAUAAACAAAUAACAGCUAUAGUGGGAUGUUAAAGCUAUUAUUUGCCACUAUGCCUUUAUUUACGACCACAAAAUGCCGCUUUGUGCAUGAAUGCUAUCAUAACGUAUUGAUUUGAGGACUCGAUCGCUACAUGUAAAAAGUUAAGAGUUGCCACUUAUCUUUUUUGCUGAUGUGCGAUUGACCACCAAUCCUAUAUUUUAGUCUAUGAAUUUGAGGUUGGGUUCGAAAGUAUGGUUACACGUGAGAAAUAUUAUAACACACCUUAGUGCCCAUCCGAAUAUGGUACCAAUAAUUCUUAUAAAGGCCCUAAAAAUAGUCUUGUUUGAAUAGUCUUACUUAAUAUUUCAUUUUAUUUAUUAUAUUUUUAUUAUUGAGAAUUUUCUAAACUAUUCCUGACACUUUUGGUACAAUUUAAGAAAUCCUUUCACCUCAAAAAUAUUCAAAGAAAUCACUUAUUUUCUUAAAGAGGCUAUAUCGUCAGAUUUAAUUUAAUAUUUUGAAAAUGAAGUAGAUUAUAAUUUCCUUAUACUGACACUUAUGUUAUGAUUUUAAAAAUUUGGAGGAAAAUCACCACUUACAAUUCUCUCUUUAUUUUAUUAUCGAUGAAAGUUUUAAUUUACUUUGGAACGUUUAUUUGUUGUUUAUUUUUAUUAUUAAUGUAAAAAAAAAAUUUAUUAGAAAAAUUUUCAAAAUAUUUUCAACACUUUUCGAAUAUUUUGAGAAAAUUGUUUGCCUAAAAAAUUUUAAUAAAGUCACCACUCAUUACUUUUAUUCUUGUAAAAUUUUACUUACUUUAACAAUUUAAAUAUUUUAUAUUUUAUUAAUUUUUUAUUAAAAAUAUUUUCAAAUAAUCUUACCAACACUUUUGACAAAAUUUUGAAAAAAAAAAUACUUUUUUAUAAAUCACCACUUGUAAUUUUAUUACUAUUGUUAUUUUUUCUGUAUUUAUUUAACUCUUGCUAUUUACUCGAAGUGAUUAUUAUUAUUAUUAUUAUUAUUAUUAUUAUUAUUAUGAAAAAUUCUCAAAUAUUUUCAACAAUUUUGGACUAUUUUAGAAAUUUUCUUUGUAUGAAAAAUCACCAUUUGUAAUUUUAUUUUUAUUUUCAUUUAAUUUUUUAUGCUUGAAAAUUUCUAAAAUAAUUUAAACAUUUUUAGAAUAUUUUAAAAAAAAUUUCUUUGUGAAUAUUUUUAAUAAAAUCACCAUUUGUGACUUUAUUGUUAUUUUAUUAUUUUAUUUAUUAUUUUAUUUGUCUUUUUUAUAUUUUUUCUUUAUUCUUGUUCAUUAACAUUUUAAUUUUCAUUAUUUCAUUUUAUUAUUAUUUUUUAAAUUAUUUAAGAGAAAAUUAAGAUUUUGAAUUUUCUUAAGUUUAUUUUUUAGUAAUUAUUUUAAAUUAAUUUUUAAUAAAAAUAUUUUAUACUUUCUACCAUUUAUUUUAUUUUUUCAUCAAAAGUUUAUACAAAAAUAAAAUAAAAUAUAUUAGGAUGAAAAUACUUAAAAUGCCCUUGGUCAACCUUGGUUAAAUGACGGUUCAAAUGGCUCAAUCAAUUGGUUCAGUUGAAUCGAUUAGUAGGGAAAAAAACUAAGGUGCAGGUCAUGUGUGUGAAUCCCAAGUUGAAUUACGUUUAUGCACAGAUCUUCCUUGGAAAAAUGAUGCGUUUUGUUAGGCUAUAAAUAACCCAAAUCUUUUUUUUUUUUUCAUUUUUCUCUUUUUUCUUUCUUUCUCUCUCUCUUCCCCUAUAUUCUCUCUCUUUUUCUCUUUAAGCUAGACAAAAAAUUUAACCAAACCCAAAGUCUGACAGGUUUUCUAGAAAUCGAUGGCCAAAAAUUUCAAUAGUCAUCGAAAAAUUCAAAGAAACCCACAUUUCGACUUGAAACCUAGAUUUUGGUGACCGAAAAAUGCAAAUUUUCCCAAUUUCUAGUGAGGCCAAAUUUUUUUUUUUUUUAAAUCUCAAAAUUUUCUAAAAUGAUCCUUUUAUACUCCUCUACACUUUCCUAAAAUGAUUUUUCCAAAAAAACUCCAAGCUUCCCAAAUUGAGGUUUUUAUUUUUGGUUGAAAAUUUUUUUUUGUUGCUUUUGUUGGUUGUUUUGUUUUGUUUUGUUUUCUAGGUUUGUGUGGAGUUGUUGUUGUGGGUUUUUUUUUUUUCUUUUUUGUGACAAGUGAAUCGGCACUUAAUAGAGGCAAUGUUGAUUUUUUCAAAACAAUUUAUGACCUUCAAGUUCCCCCCAUUCUCCACCACUAUGCUAUGCGUAUUAGAUAUAUAGAGCUUGCAUAGGAAUUCAAAUCCCAAAAAAAUAUGGGAUUAAAGGAUUUUUUUUUUCAAAGUCAUGCCACCAAAAGUUUUGCUACAACUUUUUGAUAAAAUUUUGACAAAAUUUGCAUUGGUAGGUGUAAAUUUGGGGUGGCAAAUGGUUAGAGCUUAACUUUAGUUCUAAUCAAUUUUUACAACAUAUCUUUUUGAUUGAUUUUGAUUUUUUUCUUUUUUGGACUUUUUAUAUAAUAAUAAUAAUAAUAAUAAUAAUAAUAAUAAUAAUAAUAAUAAUAAUUGAACUCAAUAUAUAAUAUAUGUGAUCAAAAUUCCAAUUGAAUUUAAAUUGGAUACGAAUGCAAUUUGGGUCAAUUUCAAUUAAUCCAGAUAGAAUUAAGUGUCUACAGCUGCCCCUCUUUACAUAUUACUGAAAAUCAGUAAUAAGGCAAAGACCAAAAAACAAUAAUUUUGUUUGUAUAAGCAUAUACAGAAAAAAAUUUUAAUUAAAAAAAUUUUUUGUUAAAUUUUUUUUGAAUUCAAAUCUAAAAGCUUUUAUAAUUAGAUGCUCAACAAAAAUAAAUUAAAAUGAAAGCAUAUAUUUCAACAUAAAAAAAUAACUUCAGAUAUCACUACUAAAAGAAACUCGAAUAUCACCACUGAAAAAAUGUAAAUGACUUAAAAUAUCAUCAUUGAAAGGAAACUCGAAUAUCACCAUCGAGAAAUAUAUAAAUGUCUUCGAAUAUUGCCACCAAAAAAGACUCGAAUAUCAAUAUCGAGUGAUUUUACAAAUAACUUCAGAUAUUGCCACUGAAGGGAACUUGGAUAUCAGCAAGAAAAUGAACUUCAAGCUUUAACACUUGGAUAUCACCACCAAGAAAAUGCAAUUUAAAAUUUUAACGAUCGAAUAUUACCACCAAGAAAAUGCAAUUGAGACUUUUAAUACUUGGAUAUCAUCAUCGAGUGAUUUUGAAAAUGGGCUCGGAUAUCACCACCGAAUACUUUGAAAAUAAUUUAUCACAACAUCUUUUUUUACUUAUGCCAAUUCACUGGGUUUACAACUUCCAUGCCAACUAGAUUAGGCUUAAAGCUCUCAUCUUGUGCCAUCUUAUUAAAAUUCUUAAAAAAAUUUUAUCUUUAGAAUAUGUUUUUGCCUCUUUCUUUUCUUUUUUCUUCUUUAAUGAUUCUAAAAUUGGCCAAUACCACUACAAUGCAAAUGUCUUCUCUUAAAGUGAUGAUGCAAAUGAAAUGGAAAUGUCUUUUACAAAAAGGUCAAUGCAUGCAUCCCUAUCAAUGAUGGACAAGUUAAUUAUGCAAAAGCAAAGUCAAAAGAUACAAAUGUUCAAAUUUUUUUUUUAAAAAAAAAAACCAAGUCAAAAUAUGCAAAUGCCAAAAAUAUUUUUUUCUUAAAUUUUUCGAAGUUCUUUUUCUUUCAAUCCUGAAUCUUUCAUCUCAAUACAAUUCCAAAUCCUUUCUUUACUACUCAUUUUUCUUCAAUUUUUGCUUUUUUUUUUUUCACAAUUUGGACUUUUCGACUUUCGUUUCCAUUUUUCAGAUCAAAUAUGCAUAUGAUCAACUUGAACUUAAUGAAAAAGAAUUGAAGAAAACAAACCAUUGAACUGUGGUGAAACUCAAUUUAUUAAACAUACUUUGGCAUUAAAAUAUGUUUCCCAUGGUGCCACUUAUUUCCUGAAAAUCAUUUAUUUUUUUAAAAUUUUAUUUUCCUUCCCUAAAAACAUUUUAUUUCAAUGAAAAAAUUGUCACAAAAAAAUGCUUUAGUAAACUUUAUGAGAAAUGUGACUCUUAAGUUUUUAAACACAAUGGUGAUCAUUAUUAUGCAUAUGUCUAAACAGGAUGGCUAUUCCAUCUUUUCGAAUGGCUUAAAUGGUUAAUUGUUAGAUUGAGGUCUUGAUUAUAAAAAGGGACCUCAUGACUUGAUGGGGGAAAUUGAAUUUCUAUUUAUCUAGGCUCUACAAUAAAUUUCUUUGGAAGGUUCUUUUGAGGUACAAUUAGAUUUGACAUCCUUGUUAGUAUCACAAUGUGGUAUUUUAAUAGAUGUCAAUACCAGUUAUGGUAAAUUCAAAGUCAUAUUGGAAAAGGCCAGGAUUUUUUAUGAUAACCCUUGCACACAUCUCAAUCAUUGGUUGCAAUGAGUUUUCAUGUUACCAUCUCAAUCGCGCUCUAGACUGCCCAUUUUUUAGUUUUUACUUGAGUUUUAUUAUUUCAUUUUUCAUUCUUUUUAGUUUUUUAUUUUUUUGACAAUUUCAUCGUGCACUUAAGUACUCUUGUGAAAGAGAAAAUUUUGCAAAGAAAAUAGGCAAAAGCAAAAUUGGUUAUGAGGAUUCUACAAGGAAUAAAUUUUUCAGUUCAAGUAUCCAUGUUUAAUCAAAAUGAACUUUUCAAGGUAUGUAACAUAGGUCAGGGUUCAAGGUUCUAAAAGAAUGGGUAAAUGGCACAAAACAUGUGUUUGAAGUUGAUCAGACCAAUGAUCAUUUCAUAUCAUGUGAAAGACUUUUUUUGGGCAUUCAUCCCUUUUGUUUCUUUAGUUGUAACAUCCCAUCAUCUCUUUUCUUCUUCCCUCAUUUUUUUCUCUUUUUUUUUUUUGUUUUGUUUUUGUACCAUUCCCACUUUUGCUUUUUUUUUGCCUAUUUCAACUUUUGCUGAAAUAUGUUUAAAACUUCUAAAACUUAAUUUAUUUUACAUUUGCCUCUACAACAUAAGGCAUUCUUACUUUAUUAUUAAAGCAUGACUUCAUCAAAUAGAUCUUUCUUUGUAUUUUUUUUUCUAAUGUAGAAAAUGAUCCUCGGUUAAGGUUUAUUUAGAAAGAAUUCGCUAGGCUUAAAGGGGUAGCAAAUGGAUAUUUUCUUUUUUAUGAAAGGAUGAAGAAAAAUGAUCAUUUGUCAUUUCAAGUUAGGUCACUUAUGAUGAAGAGUGAUUUCUUGAAAAACCUAAAUUUUGUUUUUAUCACAUUUUUUUAUCAUUUUUUUGUUUUUUUUAUCAUGUUCUAUUUUUGAGAUCAUUUAAAUAUCUAAAGUGCAUGAUGUAACCAUCGACCUUUUUUUUUCUUCUUGUUUUCACAACACAUAUGACAACCAAUUUUUGUCCUAUCUUAAUAAGCCAACAAAGUUUAUGUGGCAAUGAAAAUCAUGUUAAAAGGGUUUAUUUAGGCCUUGAUUGCACACAUCAUCACCAAAUUAGAUAGUGGUAUGAACUAGGUAAUCUUGGGAUAAUAGGAAAUCAUGUUUUUCUGUCAAUAUCCCCCUAGAUAUAAAAAUGGUGCAUUUAUAUAUGACUUUGUGUUUGAAGCAUAAUUUUGACAUCUACCAAAUCACCAACUUUCAAAUAAAAAAAGCAUCAUAUUUACCUGAUUUUAAAAAAAAUUAGAAGGUUUUUCCAAAUUGAUCAUUUCAAUGUUUGUUGCCUUGAUGAGAUGUCACAAAGUUUAAACUUGUAUCAUUUAGAGCAUUAAGGUUUUUUUAAGUGGUUUGGGACAUGGAAAAGACACGAAAAUAUUUUAUUUGGAUAGAUUCAUAAUAACAACGAUUAAUUUUUUUGAGAGUUUUUAUUAUGAAAAGAAAAUAAUUUAAAAAAAUUGAGACAAAAAAAUGGAAAAAAAUUCUCUUAAUUAGAAUUCAAAUUCAAACUUUCAUACAAGUAAUGAAGUUUAUAUGUAUGUCCAAUACAGAAGUGAAAGAUUAAAAAGGAAAUAAAUGGGUCAUUUUUUUUUUAUUUUGAAUCAAUCAAUCACUUUGCAACACUGAAUGAAGUGUCCACCAUUUCCCCACAAAAGCACAUAGAACCAUUCUCCAAUUCCUCUUCUAACCAUUACAUCAAAAUUAUUCAUAUCGAUGCUCUAACACUUUUGGUUCACUUUUUUUCUAAUAUAUCAAGGUAAAGAGUGUUCAAUGACAUGAUGAUCUAUCUUCGUUCCAAAUUCUAUUUUCCUGGCUUUAAUGAGAUCUCUAACUUUGUAUUUCAGUGCAGGGCAGUUCUAUGUUAAGUGGCCUUGAUUUUUACUAUAGUAAUCACAUUUUGCAUUAGGAUCAUACAAUUUUGUGUAAAGGAGUUGAAGGGGUUCUAGACACAUAGGUUUCAAAAGUUGAUUUUGGAUAAAUUGGGUAACAAUUCUUUGUAAGAUAUGGGAAUAAAGUCGACAUGAUUCUUUUUUUUUAUUGCUUUACAGCCCUUUUAUGUUAUUUCUCAAAGGAUCUGAUUAAUUGGUUGGUUGGGGCGUAGGUGCAAGUGUUUUAAGUUGAAAGCUUAAUUGAACCCCUAAUUGAUUCGAGUAAAGAUUUGGUGAGAUAUUAUUUAUGGGAGGGUAGUAAGGGUGGUAAAUUGAGUGAAGAUAAUACAAGACAAAACCACUACCUUAUUGUUCCUCAUGAGAUACAGUUUGCACAUCUUUUUCUUUUUUGGAUGCCUUAUCUUUCUUUGUAUCUUUGCCAUCAAUUUUUUCACUCUUGAUCAUAUUUUCAAUUAUCUCUCCAGAAAUUAUCAUAUUCGUAAAAUUUUUUAUGACAUUCUCAAUCAUCUUAUCAUAAUAAGGUGUUUGAAAAGUGUUAACAAGCAAAACAAUUAUUUCUUUCUCUAUGAGCGGUGGCUGAAUUUGAGCAACCAUAUCUUUCAUCUUUAAACAUAUUUUUUAAAGCUUUUAAUAGCUUUUUUCUCCAUAUUUUGAAAUGAUAGACAAUCAGGGGUUAAUUCUACAAUAUGCAUGUAUUGGGUUACAAAUGCCCUAACUAGUUCAUUCCACGAAGUGAUGCGAGUUCUGUCUAUUUAAGUAUACCACUUAGCAGAGACCUUGUAAAAGUGUCUUAGAAUACAUAGUUAAGAGCCUGUCAUCACGAACAUGGGCAGCAAUUUUCCUGCAAUAUAUAAUGACAUGAGUCAUUAGGCAUUUAGUGCCAUCAUACUUUUCAAAUUCUGAGACCUUGAAUUUGGCAAAACAAUCACAUUUGGCACCAAACAAAGCUUCGAUGGAUCUAUAGAUCAUAAAAAUCUAUUUUCUCAAUAACUUGAAGCUUUUCCUCUAUGAAAUCCAUCUUCUUUUGGGUGCUUGAAUUUUCUAUUGCUUCAAAUGAAGUUUCUUUCAAUUUUUUUAGCUUUUCAAGAUAGUCAGGGAUUUGAAUUGGAUCAGAUUUAUAUCCAGGAAUAAUAUGUCCUUGGGACUGUCCUUAUGUAGCUGCUAAAGAUAUUCCAAAAUGAAAGUAUACCCUAAAAAGUGGGUUUUGUUGUGAUUUUAUUCCUUAGGAUACCUGGAUUUGAUGUGAACCAAACCCAGCAAGAUGUAAGGAAUUUUUUUUCUUCGAUCAUGGGCUUCCUCCACUUCUCCACUUAAAAUUUUCAAAAUUCUCUAAUUAUCUGGGCCACGUAUCCUCUCAUUUUAUCUUAAGUUUUCUCAAAUUUCUCAAUUCGGCUAUUUUGUUCUUAUUCCAUGGGUAUUAGAUAAGUGGCAAGUAAAUUUCUUUGAAAGUUUUAAUGAUCAGGUCCUUGAAGCAUUAUUACCACAAUUAAGAAUUAGGAUGACAGGUAGCUACAAAUUUAUGAAAAUAAAAAAGAUUUAUGUGAAUAAAUGGAUAGAUGCAUGCGUUGAAUGUUAUAAAAUAAAAAAGCUUUUAAAACUUAAAAAUCAUCCUAACAACAAGAAUCUCCAAAUAACAUUCCUAAAUAAUUCUAAAAUCUAUUGCCUAGUCCUAUAUUUAACUUCAGGAUCAUGGUAUUGCUAUUGAUAGGUUUUUCAACAGAUACAAUUAGGCAAUGAACUUUUAACAAUCUUAAGCUUCCUUCAUUCUCGAAACUUAACUGACCAAUUUUGAUUAAACCUUAUACUUUAUGUUUGAAAGCAAGGCAGUUUUCUAUUGAAUGAUAUGCAUUUCCAUAAUGAUAAUCACAUCGAGUAUCAGUAUCAUAUCACUUAAGAUAAAGAGAUUUUAAUGGCUUUAGAGGAAAUGGUAUGAUCAUAUGGUUUUUAAAGAGUUGUAGGAAUACCUUAGUGUAAGUCAAAGGAAUUGGAUUAAUGAUGGCUCUUUCUUUCCUUUUACUCAAUGAUUUUUUAGGUUGAGUAGUUGUUUGUCUCACCAGUGCGGGCCUUGGAUUAGAAUUAAGUGUAUACGCCUAAUUGGUUCAUUAGGAAACUUGGUUGCUAUAUGAAUUAAUAAGCACUAGGGUUUUGAGAUACACUGCUCAUAAUUGAGAAAUAGUAUAGAUUUGGAUUGAUUUAUAGGGGUUGAAAGGGAGCAGGUUUUGUUUGGGCUAUCAAAAACGAUUGUUGAGUUAACCAACUAGACAUUUUUUUUAGAGUAUACUAGGGAUACUACUGGAGAUGGGAACUUACCAACAGGAGUCAAUCUCCAAGAGGUAGCCGAACGUCUUUUUUUUAUCGACGAAAGCAUUCAAUGGAUAAACCAGAUCUAUUUAGACCUCGUCAAUCAGGGCACGCAGAGUCCCCACUUUGCCCAAGCUCUGGAUUCUGUUCUGCAUUUCGGAGGUAUGUAGUUAGGAUUUGUUUUAUAGGCUUUAUCAUAUUUAGUCAAAAGAGUUUAGGUAAGACUUUCAAAGUGACUUCUGCAUGAGGGGACUUGCUGCCCUAGAACAAUUACAACCAACAAACAAAGGAACUCGAGACUUGGAGUAUAAAGUAAAGAGGAAGCCCUAUCGCCCGGGUUUAACAAAUGGUGGGCCACAAAAGGUUCUUCGUCCUUCUUGACUCCCUUGACAAGCUGCAAGGCGGAUAAAGUGGGCACACUAGUUUUCACAUUACCACUUGGAAUCAUGCCUGGUCUUCCUUCAUCCAUGAUGCCUAAGGUGCCCAAGUAUGUCUUGUGUACGGCUUUUCUCAAAGUCGUUCUAGUUUUCGAUCUUAGGGGAGGGGUCCGUGGUCUUUUCGGUCCUAGAAAGUGUGCCGUGCUUUCAAGGAGUCGCGGAAUCGGGUUGAAGUCAAAGCAUGAUCUACAAUUGGACUUGUCCCCAUCGGUUCUAUGUGAAUUGUUGCCAAUUCUUUCUUACCACAGGAAUCAGGAGAAAGAACGAAAGUCCUUUCCUUAAAAAAGUCAAUUUCGGCUCAGUGGACUCUAUAUCUAGGAUAAGCAUUCGAUUGGCCUACAAGAACUACAAUCACCACAAGGCGCCUAUUUCUUUGCUUUGAAAUACUGUAAAUCCUUGUUCUCCCUUUAAGGCCUGGAUCUUUCUUUCUUUGUCUCCUUCUACUUGGAUUGUAUUUUCCCUUUCUUUAUUUUACUUUGCUUAUUAGCUGACUCCUCUUCUCUUACCCCUACCAUCUUCACUCCGGGGGGAGAGGAGAUGAGGAAGCCCUACCAUCAGUGCUAUUUCCCCGGCUAAAUGUACUCUAAGUCUUCGCUUCGCACCUUGUCUUUCUUAUUGCUUGAAGAUAACUUGAAAGUUUGCACUCUAUGGAGAAUCUCUUUUGUUAUGCACCUAAUACAAGAUCAAUCAAGUCUCUCUUUGAUUCCACUACUGCUAGUGUUGAAGGGCUAUACCCGAACUGACUCUCGGGGAGAGGAAGGAGCGUAAGAGUACAGUCAGACAGUAAUCGCCACUCGAGGAAGUUACUAAUAUGUUCUUUUAAAACCGCACGUAUAAAUAGCAGUAGCUUUAGCAGAUCGAGUAGGAAGAGGCCCAAUAGACUGACAUUAGUGGGUUUAGUGGCUUCUUUAGCGAUUGCGCAUUGCCGUGCUGUCUUUAAUAAGAAUUUAGUACUCUUAGGCAUGAGAGGAAGAAAGCAUACAGCGCAUUUGCUACCACAGCGGAUCUGCGACAUAAAGCUUCUUUUCCUUUCUCUACCCAUAUUAGAAUAAAGCUAAUCUGCGACAGCGCAUCUGCGAUAGCUUGCAAGAGUCUCUUUCAUACGUGUUCUCUAUCAAAAGGAUCGACCUCUCUCGCGCAAAGGAAGAAAGUUGGUGCGUACAUUCUCAUAGGUUUUUCUCUCACGACCCACCUAGCCACUCUGAAUGAAUAUUACGUCAAUAAAGGUCAUAGUUCUUUCCGUUUUGCUUUUAACACGAAGCUAAGGCAGCGAUACAAACCUCCCAAUCCUAGUGUCAAUUGAACUUUUACCUUCGUGAUUGCUUGUAUCAUAAGAAAUAGAGCUUUUAGUUGGACAAUGAAAGUCGAUUGCAUAUCCUGUAAGAGAAAGAAGGAUAUUAGAAAUAGUUGGCUAGCAACAAUCAAUGCUGUUCACCAUCCCCAUGCCUUUCUCUAGAGUAGUCUAGUCCUUGUUUUCACUAACGAAUGCAGCUGGCUAGUCAAAGCUAAAUCACGGGAACCGCUUUCGCACAAUCAAGCCUGGUCAAAAGAAAGCUCUUUCAAGUUCGCUUUUUCUGGCAACUUCGAUCAAUAUCAUAUACAAGUUAGGUUAAUCUACCUUUCCUUCAAGUGCAGGAACAAAUCCUUUAAUUCUUUGAUCUCGACCGACUAAAUCAAUCAAUAGCAGAAGUUUUUUUCUUUCGAUUAAGCUUUUCUUAGCCUGUAGCCUUUGAUAAGGAUGAACUGGAUCAUCUGACAAGAAAGCUAGGGAGUUUGAAAGUUCUUUUCUUUCCUCGAGUCUUUCCCCUUUUGAGAAAACAAGAUUAGGAUCUAAGUUUGGUGGAGUUAAAACUAAUACCUUUUUUUGCGUACCUUAAGCUUAUAACCUUUUUCAUAUAAAAAAAGCAGUCAUAAAAUCUAGAAUUUUUUUAGACAAAACCCAUUGAUAAGGGGAAUCUUACAAUGUUGAAUCCCUUUAUUACCAACUUUAGCCCUUCCUUCGCCUCUUCUUCUUUUUGUGCCACAUUCAAGCAGUAAGAAGGACUAGCUUAGCUUUCCCUUAUUUAUGGAAUGGGAUUGAUGCUAAGAAAUCCCUUACUAAUCGAAAGAGGGGAUUCAAAAGUGUCUAUUCUAUCUUCCAAGGUACGAAAGGCAAAGGAGACUGAGGAAAGAAAGAGCAGCUAUUGAAUCCGUUCAUAUCCGAUGGGUAUGAGUACUGGCUUCCAGCCUAGGCACUCUGGGAUGAAUUAUCAGUGCGAUAAGGUCUUGCAAAGCCUAUCAAGUAAAGGUAAGGUCUAUUUCUUAGUUAUUCAUUCUCUAUCCUUUUCAGUCUUUUUGUUUUGCUCCAGUAGCCUGUUGAUUAGAAGUUUCAAGCCAAUUUUCAAGCUAGUUAAAGAAAGAGUAUCCUGUCCUGCGAUAGGACUUGUAGCUCACAAAAAAUCUCCAAUGAUUGCUUCCGUUUUGUUCCAAUAUGCAUAUAAACCUUUAGCCUAGUUAUUGAAUUCAUGAUCUGGCCUGGUUGAUUAAGUCUAGUUUAGGUGAGUUUGUACGUCAGCGAGUUUAAAGCAAGUUCUCUCAACGAGGAUGUAGAUUAAGGGUAUGCCCGAGUGUGAGAAAGCUUCGCUCUAAGGCCUGUGUCCUAGAGAAAAUAUCCCUUUCAAAGCUACAGGAAGGGUUUGGCCUAAUGUUGUGAGUUAUCUCAGCCAGUCGCAAUCUUGGUUUCAAGUCUGGGUUAGGAUAAAAAGUGAGGUAUGGAAUACAUACUAUACGGGGUUAAGAUAGCUGGGAUUCUCACUUGACUCCGAUAGCAAAUGAACAACCCCUAGAUUCAACAAGUGAAUCUAAGCCGGUGUCAACAUAUACCACAUGAUAUGCGUGUCAGCAAUAGCGAUCGAUCUCUCAUGAAGGGCAUUCCUCAUCUCCGUCAACAUAGGUUCUUAACCCUCUCUAACCCAGAUGAGCUUAUGCCAGUCAACAGCAGCAGCUUCAUGUCUAACAAUAUUCUAAGCACUAAAGAUUGAGAACUUCCCAUUCCAUUGCUAGACUGAGUCCAGAUGACUUUCAUCUUUCUAAGUUGGAUUAGGAAUAAUAGCAUCACAUAAGGAGCACUGAGUCUCUACUAGAUCAUCUAAUCUAGUUGGAGGCCAAACCAAACCUGCAGCAUUAAUGACAGCUGCCCCUUUUGCUUGAAAAGGAAGAACAGAGUCAUAAACAACUGUGAAAUUAUAGUGUAUAAGCAAAAAAGGCCCGUUAUGAUGGCAGUUAUGAAACCAAAAAUCUGUGGAUUUUCCAUUAUCUGUUAUGUUUUGCACAUAUGGUUUGAUAUAGUUUCUUACUUCAAGAUUUCUUCCACUCCCAUGAGCAAUCACUAGACAGGGCAAUAGAUCACAGACUUCUGCCUUUCGGUGCAUAGGUUUGAUCCAAACAACCCAUAGAUCUUGAUUGAAUAAGAAUAGCCCAAUGCUUUUCAUCACAUAGGCUUUAUUCUAAUCAGACAUCUUCUUGAUGCCUAAACCCCCUUCAUUCUUUGGAUGGCAAACUCAGUCCCAGCUGACUCUAGUUCUUGUAGCAUUUCUAUCUUUGCCUUUCCAUCAGAAAGUAUUAGAUUUUUGCUUGAGAAGUCUAGUGACUUUCUUGGGCAGGAUAAAGACAUUACACCGAUAGUUUUGGAUGCUAAAGAGGACUGAAUUAAGAAGCUGUAAUCUGUCAGCAAAAGAUAUAUGCUUGACUAUCCAGCUCCUUAUUCUUUUCAGAACUCUAUCAAUUAGAGGUUUACACUCCUCACUGAGUCUACUAGAAAUAAGGGGCACCCCAAUAUUUUUGACUGGCAAGGAACCAAGUUUGAAUCCUGAAGUAGCCAUCAUUUGUUCAUUUAUGCCAGAACAGAACAUCUCACAUUUUGUUGGAUUAAUCUUCAACUCUAACAGCUCAUAGAAUUGAUUCAGAACAUUCUUCAAAGCUUAAACAGCUUCAAGCUCCCCUUAGUGAGCACCGUACUAGUCUCGCCUUAAGAUCAAGACGUAACACAGUCAUAUUAUCUUAAAAUAAAAUCUCAAAGUAAUAUGAAACAUUAUUUCUUAACUAUUCUAAAAUUCUUUAAUAAAAUAAUUUGUCAAGUAAAAUCUAUAUCUUUAAUCGAACUAAUGAUAUCUACAUAUCCAAAUACAAAUUAUAUAAAAUACAAAACCAUUUCAUAAAAUCUCACUGGCCAACAUUAUCUCCGACGACUAAGUAAUCUUUCUCAUAUGAUCUUCUAGUUUUUUACAAAAUUAAGCAAAUUUAUCACUUACUCAUCUGUAAAAAAAAAGUAAAAAGGAAUGAGCAAACCACCGCUCAACAAGUAUAGACUUACACACCUUAUCGGAUCAAGCAUCUUUUUCAUACAUAUCAUAUAGAUCAUUCAAAAUAUUCAUCAAAUCAUAAUGUCAAAAUAUUUCAAAGAUCAUUGUUUUGUCAUACAUUUUGCAAAUUCAUAAAUCAAUGUCAAAACAUGUCAAUUUAUAAAUCAUUGCAAAAUAUGUAAUCAUUCAAAUAUCGUAAUCAAACCAAAUCAUAGAUCAAUCAUUAAAAAUCAUUAUAAAUCAUCAUUAUCAUUCGUUUAUCAUUAGCUACGGUCACUUUUAUAAUCUGUGAUAUUGGCCGUAUCGACAAUUUCAUCCUUAUGAUCAUUGCUAACUACUAUUACCUAUUAACUAGGGUCAUAUAAUCAUGUUUUUGUUAACUACUAUUACUUGUUAGUUAGGAUCAUAGAACUAGUUCUGAUGUCGAUGAUCCCACUUCCCAGGGAUAUAAAAAUGUAGUUAUAAUAAAAUUAUUUUUUAACAUAAACCAUUUUUACAUUUCAUUCAUAAGCAUGAUCUAUCGUUUAUAUAGAGAAACACAAAAUAAUCAUAUGUUUGAUCAUAUUUUCAUACAUUGAAAAUAAUGAAAUAAAAUAUUCAUUCAUUUAGAAACAUACAUAUAUACAUAGAUUCGAAAACAAGUAAAGUAUGUGAGAUUCUACUUACCUCAUUCUGAUUUCACCACCUAGUUUUUCUUCCCAAAUAAUUAACGGCCUAUUCAAGAUAAUUUCAACAUAACAGUAAUUAAUCAACCCAUUUAAGACCACUUAUACCAAAAUAAUUAAGUUAAACAAGAAUUAACUUAAGUAACUAAUUCUAAUAGCUUACGCUUUUUUCAAUAAAAUGAUCAUAUCUCGAGAUAUGUAACUCAAAAUUAAAAUCUUUUUAAUGCAUUAGAAACUAGAUUCGAUAAGUUUUCUAACCAUAUAUGGCCCAUCUCGUGAUUCUUUGUGAAUUAAUUAUAACAAUUUUUGCAAUCCACGUCAUAUGCUGCUGUCAGACAGCCUGUAUGCCUUCUCAUAAAAAUUACGUAUUUAUUCAUAAGAAACUCCAAAUUCAAUUCCGCUUAUUUUGUUGGAAAGUAGACUCAAUAAGUUUUGCAAACAUAUAUGGCUUAAUUUGUAAAUCCUAGUAUAAAAAUUAAGACAAUUUUCGAAAUUCAACCCUGAUACUGCUACCUUACAGCCUGCAUAUCCUUAAGUAAAAAUUAAACAACUUUUCAUAGAAAACUUAGAUUCGACUUCUGUUUGUUUCAUUAGAAAGUAGAUUCGACUUCUGUUUUCCAACUAUAUAUAAUAAUCAUAGCAAUAAUGUAUCCAUUAAUACAAAAUCCUAUUUUAAUUCACUAUUGCAAAUCAUAACAUCUCAUCUAAAAAUAGAAUUUCUCCUUUAAUUUUUAAAAAUUCAAAUCCCCACUUUCAGCCUUUAAACUUCAUUCAAUAAUAAUCAAUAAAUCUUAAGGACAUGAAAUAAACAAAGUCCAGUAAUUUGCUCAAAUAGAUCAUGAAGAUUAAAGAAAGAUUUCAUAAUUUUUCUUGAUUUUUCUCUUAGAACUUUAAUAAAUUGAUGGGCUUUGGUAUUAGUCUAACAUAAUUAUCAUUUGGGCUGAGGUAUUAAAAUAAAAUCAUCAACAAAGCAUAGGUGGGUGAGGGGGCUCUUAUCACAUUAUGGGUGGUAUGGAAGAAGCCCAUGAUUCCCAUGCUUUUGAAAGUAGUCGUCUAAUCACAUUUUCUUUCAUUUUCUCGAUCUUUAUCGUUGUUUCUACAUCUUUACAACGCCAUUUUCUAUAGCCAUAGUCAAUUUUAUCGGGUGCUAGUAAGAUGGGGGAAGUGUUGUAAGGUUUUCUGCAUCUUAGCUAAUUCGUAUUCUUCACAACUGUCUUGCUUUCUCAUUUCAUUCGGAUUGUAUUUUCUUUUAUGAAAUUGAUUAUGUCUCUUGCCUUCUCAUGAGUUGGAUUCAAAGCAAUCCCUCUUUUCAAAGUGGGGUAGAAAGUCCUUUUUAAUCCUUAUUGCCCCUCGUACAAAAAAGAUUUCAUCUGCUAGGCCUCUCUUCGUUUAAGUAGUGGGCAAAUCCCUUGUUCCGUUUGAAAGAGAUUCAUCUUGACAAUAACCUUUACCCUUAUUUCAUGAGUUUAUGAGUGAAUGAGAAAAUGACUUGUAACAGUGACUCGACUGAAAGGAGAAAGAUGAAGUGAGGCUACGCUUUGCCUAAACCAAGACGGGUCUCGUAGCUGAUCCUUUGUUUGGAAAGGACUUAACCAAAGGCGCUUUUAAGCCCACCGCCUUCCUUGGUUAAACAAAGGCUAAAUGGGAACCAUUCGGAUAUUUGGUUUAGCUGGCUGAUCUUAUCAAUCCGUCACUAGAGUAACCUCUAAGAAAAGGCUAUUUAGGUGGUUGGGGUUUAGCUCAACUCGGGUAUUCUCUUUCACUCUCUACUCUCCCCUUCCCCACCCGUCUUAGUGGGUGAUUGGUAAUCUUCUUCUGUCUCUUCUUCCUUCUUCUUUCUUUGCUUUUCAGCUUCAUAAUUGGGACUUCCUCUUUCUUUCUAGUGCACUGCUUUAUUGCGCGCAUUUGGUGCGCUAUUGAAGAACAUUCCUAUAUUUUCUUUAAAUUAUCAUAUAUGAUCACAGAAAGUGCGUUGCGCAUUGGCUAGAGCAGUCAAUUCUGGGAAUUGUUUCACUAGAGCGCGCAGAGACCUAAAGUCUAUUCACGUUCUCCAGAAAAGCUAUCGCGAAACUGGCUCCAUACUUAACUUCCAAGCGCGCAGCGCAUACAAGAAGGCUGUGAUCAUGCCGGAAAUUCCACGGAUGAUGGAUGGUACAAAGUCCUCCAGCUUUUCAUACUUUUGGAGAACUUCCAGCUAUCAAGGAGACGAAAAGCUAUGUGAAGUAAAAGAGGAAAAGGUCGCCGACUGCUACUAAGAACCUAACAGAAUAGAGUGCUUAGACUGACUUGAACAGUAUCAAGGAAGAUGAAUAAUGGAAUAUAGACAAUUCGAACAUAAAUCAGAUAAAGAGCAUUUCCGAAGACAUCGAUAGGAAUUCGGAUAGUUCUCAAGUGGGCGAAAGAUGGAUGCUAGGUAGGACCAGAUUCCAUCCCAUCGGUUGAUCAAUCAAUAGAGGUAGGAAUAAACGAAUACUAACAAACAAACCGAUACAGGAUCUGCAAGACCUCCGCUACUGACUCGCAAACCGAUACAGGGAGCAAGUGCCCUAGGUAGAUGGUACGCCUCGCCUCGCUUCUUUACCCGGUGACUGAUAUAUCUAUUCAUUACUGGGCUAUUCCCACGUACUCACUGACGAACUGUACUAAUUGGCGGGUUGAUCCAGGUAGCUCAGAUCUGGGAAUGUACUACAGGGAGCAUCCUGACUAGUCUCAUCGACAUUUAAAUAAGCAUCCUGUUCCCUUCUGCUUCAGCAUAGUAUACCUAUUUUCCGAGAAGGAAGACCCUGUCCAGAAAAGUUUAUUUCCCUGCUUCCGUAUGAGUUGAGAGGAUCAGACUGACGAGGGAACCUUCUCUAGUCUAGGAGCAUUUCCACUAUGUCUGUCUUCUUUCAAUGCCCCUUCCCAAAGCAAAGCAGUAAGAAACCUAUGGCGCAUUCUUCUCUUUCAAAAAAGCUUUGGUAUUGCGCCUUUCUGUGCUCCCUUUCGCCCUUCGUUAUAUCCUUAGCUUUCCUGUAUCUCUUUCUUAACGCCUUGUGAACCGGGUUCAUACUACGAUGAGUAUACCUCGACAGGAAGACCCUCUUCCCGUGGGACUGAGUCACUCUUUUGUCUACGAACUGGUGAUCAAGAAGCUAGUCGUUCUCUAUUUUUUGCCUUUUGACCUGGGGCUUUCACCGACCGACACGAAAAUGCCCUUUACUUGACCUUAGAUAUGAUACCGACUCGAUCGACUAUCAUCAAUAAGAUCAAUAAGACAAGGUGAAUCCAUGCAAUUAGAUGUCGAGUCGAUACUCUCCGUUCGUUAGGCUUCAUUCCUCUCUAAAGGCUGUGGAAAACGCCUAUAUGGCGGACAGGACUUUGGAUGGUAUCAGAAGGUAUUGAGAGACUAGUUAUAUUCUUCACGUCGAGAUUGAUAAUAGACAAAGUGUGCCCUUACUCUAGGAAGGCUAUCUGACGUAAUUUGGCGAGGCUGGUUUGAACCUGCAUUCUUCAGAUCAUGAGCCGUAUGCGUUCACCGUUACUCUACCCCGUUUCUUCCCUUUCUUCUGUUAUGAAUAAUGACUUAAAUCCCAUAAGAAAUUUAUUUUGAAUUGAUUAGAUAUUAUUUGAUAGACAAAAAAAAUUUAAAAAAAAAAAAGAUUUUCAAUAGAUAAGUUUGACUUACAAGAGAAAAAUUUUAAAAGAAAAAAUAUUCUUAAUAGGUAAAUUUCACUUGUAGGAGAAGAAUUCUAAGAGGAAAGAGAUUCUUAAUAUGUAAGUUUGUAUAAUUAUAAAUACGUGAAGUCUUUACAAAGUAAGGUAUGAGAAAAAUAUGUAAAAGAAUUAUAAGAUUUUAUGGGUAGGCACCUCAUAAGACUAAUGAAGAUUUACGUCUUAUGGAUGUGUGUAUAUUUGUUUGUGAAUGGACUAGAAGAAACUGAGAGGAUGUGUGUAUAUUUGUUUGUGAAUUGACUAGAGGAAAUGAGAGGAUCCACAUAGGUAUGAUGUAUGCGUACAUAUGAGUAUGUAUUUGAUUGUAUUGAAAAAGUGCGUAAGGGUUUGUGUUUGUUUGAGUUGAGAAUACUCUAUAGGACUAGAGUAGAUUGAGUGAAUCUAUGAGUAUUAAUUGUUGAGUGGUUGAUAUGCUUGAUUUAUAUUUGUAAUUAUUUACAACUAGUGAAUCUUGUUUAUUAUCCAUGGAUGUAGAUCAGUUAGAUUGAAUCACGUUAAAUUAUUAUAUCUUAUGUGUUUGAUUCAUUAUUUGAUUUCAUGCAUAUGGGUAUGUGUUUGGUUGUGUUGAAAGGGUGCACAAGGGUUUGUGUUUAUUUAGAUUGAGAAUACUCCAUAAGACUAGAGUAGAUUGAGAGGAUCUAUGAAUAUUAAUUGUUUAGUGGUUGAUAUGUUUGAUGUAUAUUUGUAAUUUUUUAUAACUAACAAAUCUUGUUUAUUAUUUGUGAAUGUAAAUCAGUUGAAUUAAAUUACGUUAAAUUAUUGUCUCUUUUGUAUUUGAUUCAUUGUUUGAUUUCACUUUUGUUAGUGUGAUUGGAUUGAGGCUUUUUGACCUAACAUAUCAAAAAUGUGGUAAUCUCUAACAUCUCCUUCGUAUCCUUCAUCCUUGUUAGUCCUUGUAAAUCGAUGACUUUCUUCUCUUAUGAUAAUACCUUACCACUUGUUGGUCUACCGAAAUGGAAAAAGACUGGUAGGAAGACUUGCAGGGGUCUUGGAAUCUUUACUUGAGCCAGUAAGCAGUUCCAACCACACUUUCAUUCACUCACUCCACAAUCAAAGACUUGACAUCAUUAUCACCUUACCUUCCUAUUUAUAAGCCAGAGCUUACUUCGACGUUGAAUUACUAUUUGCAACCCACUUUUAUAGUAGUUCUCUUGUUUAUUGCAAUUUUUUAUGCUUUUUUUGUUUUUUUUAGAAAACUAUAUCCAUCUGAGUUUUAUGGGGUCGGAAUACCCGUACCUCUACUUUGCAUAGGUGGUGCAUCUGCUAUUUUUUAUUGUUUUAUUGCUAAGACAGAUUUCUUGUUCCAUAUAACAUUAUGGUCCUUUAUGUUCAGUAAUCUUUCCAUUCUUGUCAUUCAUGAUAUCCCAGAAGUAGCAGUGCUGGCCUUUAUUUUGUAUCUUGUUUUACUAUUCUUUUUUCCUUUGGAUUUCGUAUUCAUUGUCAUCCUUAUCGGACGAGUUUUUAUUUCUCCUGAAAUUUCUCAAUGGGGUUUCGCUCUUAUUACACAACUAACAAACAUUUCUCUUUUUUCUUUAUUGGAUGAAAAAGAGGAGAACCCAAUCUUCUUUUCAAACAUUUUCAUUUUUAUUCUGCUAUUUAUUUUGGGAUUUUUAUAUUAUCAAGAUCCAACCCAUCGAUAUUUUAUGAUCUUCGUAUUAGCUUUAGCUGGGGCUUCAGCUAUCUAUUUUCUAUUCCUAAGCAGGACGGGCUUGUGGCAAGUUCUGUCUUUUUCAAUUUAUUUUCUGAUAAAUCUAUUAUUAGGAAUAUCACAUUCCAAUAAUGAAAGAACCCUGUUCGGUGUACCCGAUGUGACUCUCAUUUACAUUCUGGUAAAUCAAUUAAUGUCUCUUUUUUUAGUUAUUACUAGUAAAGUAAGAGACGAUAAACUGUCUCUGGUCAUUAAUGAAGGAAAAGAAAUGCUGGUCUUUGUAUAUAUAGUUAUGUUAUACUUUCUUAGUCAAAAAUUACAUCAUGAUUGUUUAUGGUUGGAGGUUUGGAUUGAUAGUAUGAGUUUUCAGAUAGGGUUUUUAUCUCUUUUGAGAUUCUUAAUAAAAAGAAAGAAAAACACCAAAGAGUAGAUGAUUAGCCGAUGUAUGUAUUAUGCAACGGGUAUACGAAAUCCCCCGGAUCGAUUUUAGGCAUUCACAAGGUUCAAAGAAAGGGUGGGACAUUGAGAAAAGGAUAUGUAUACCAAUCAAUAUUAAAAUAACUUUCUCUA
This 79419-nucleotide long non-coding RNA is filed under the name Durio zibethinus. RNAcentral describes it as "long non-coding RNA (DZIB_LNC000184)". Lineage: Eukaryota; Viridiplantae; Streptophyta; Magnoliopsida; Malvales; Malvaceae. The record is from RNAcentral.